CUGUUGGGAUUACUGGGGGGCUGGCACAAACAGGGGAACCAGGGAUUAAAGAACACCAUCUCAAGGAUUUGGACUGGUGUCAUCGACCACAGAAGAGUCCGGGGAUCAUUCGCCACUGCAGCAAGAAAAUCCAGGAUAAACAGAGCUAGCAGAGCGUUUCGGACGACAGGGUGGAUGAAACAGGAAAGUCAAACACAGACAGCAGGAUACCACUGCAUGGUAGGACCAUAAAAUAUCUUCUGAGAAUGUGUUUUUAUGAUUAUGCUGCAGUUAAAUCACCCACAGUCCGUGAGAGUCCAUAAUGAAUGGACAGGACCACUUGUUGCCCUGUCUAGAUCAUUUUAGACAGUGCAAACAGACCCAAACAUUUGCAUCCUGUGCAGCAGUGCAGUGACAUUUGCUCCUGUGCAGAGGAGCUGUCAGCACCUCAACUUUCUGCUGUGAGAGUUUUGCUUUCAUGCUGGUGGAGCUGAGCUCACUCCGGAUACAGAUAAUGAGCAGAGAGGGGAGAGGGCAGAUCUUUUUUUCUCGUUCUUUGUAAAGUCUGGACUCACAUCUGUGACACGUAGUUUUCUUUCUACAAAGAGCAGCUCGUCAGGACAGAAUAAAAACUCUCUAACAAAGUUUUCUCUCUGGAGUGAACCACUAAAACAGUUUGUCCAGAAAAAAACAUGGCUCUUAACUUUGUUCUACAGCUUCGUCUCCGCACAUCGAGAAAAUACUAUGCCACUUAGUAAGGACUCUGUCUUAAUCAGCCCUGAAUCCAUUUGUAUCCUUGUUUUUUUUUUUCUUUUUUUAAAGAUUGAAAUAUUUAGACCAUAUUAUUAUUUAAGUGGAAGUGGAUUCAGGAUCACUAAAUUGAUCACAGGUUAGACUUUAUUGACCCCAAAUCUCAGACAAACCUGAUCGUCAAAUCUUAUCUCCGUAAUGUGACCAUAUUGUGAUAUCUGUCUUGGGCAGCACUGGCCUUUCAAUGGACCUUUAGAGGCCAGCUGAUUGCAGAUUUAGCCUCUGAUUGGUUGAAACACCAAAACAAAGAUGGCAGCCUUUGUCUAGGAUGGUCAGCUAACAUCAGAAACAACACUAUUUGUGUAAAUUAAACACAUAAAUCAUCAAAGGUAAGCAGUAUUUUUGAGUUGGGUCUGGUUUGUUUCUGAAAAUAGACUGAUCUGGUCGCUGGAUGUUGCAAAAUCAGGAAAGCCGCCGGUCUCACGGUGCAAGUGGAUUUGAAAGUGAGUUGCCACCUUUCUACUUUAGAGCUGAUAUCAUAAACAUAGUACAAGGUCAAGUCUAUAAAUAACUGAACCCUGAUCAUAACGCCAUCUCACUUGUUAAGGAUGUAUUUUGAGGUGAAAAACCCUGUUUUCAAUUUGGAUCAAUAGGAUAUGUGUCUGUAGAGCCUGAGACUGGAGUUUUAGAGCUGAAGUUCUGGAACUGCAUCCUUUGACCCCUAUGCUGUUGUGUUCCAAUAGAUGGUGUCAAAUAGCAAGCGUCUCUAAAAUUGUGGUCCUGAAUCUGCUGCCUGUGGUUCUGCAGACACGUGCCAGUCCUUUUGUGCCACACUGAAAGGAUACUAAUAAGCGAGCUCUGACUGUGCACAGCUAUUAAUGCUGGGGUUUGCAAAUUGGAUGUAUUUAAGAAUUCAAGCUCAUUUGCAUCCAGGAACUAAUUUUGCCCUAAAUGAGUGCAAAGUUAUGUAUUUCAACAUUAGUAUUUCAGCACCAAAACAGAGACGCUCUGUUUUCGCCUGCAGUACAAUGUUGGGUGCUUUAGCAACCCAUGGCAUGAAUAAAAACAAAAUACUUGAUCCUUCUCUUACGAGCAGCAAGAAGUUCAGAGGCAAAUAAAGCCAAAAAGAAGCCUUAGAGAGACAAAUAUGAAACAACAUUUAUUUGUACAAUAAACACAAAUCAUAGACACCUGCUUUAAAGCACAUACUAACAUAAUAAAAGGCAUCCAAAGCCCUUUUAAAACACAGUAGAUCCCAUUUAUAGUCCCAAGAAAACUUAGGUGCAUUCACAUCAAUAUUGCAACAUCUCUACAAACAAUAAAUCAGCCUAACAGUUUAAAGGUGCAGUGUGUGGUUUUUAGCAGCAUUUAGAAGAGCAGACUGGGUGUUGGUUCAAAGAGGACAAAGACUCAGCUUGUUAUACAGGAGCUUCUUGUCCUCAAAGGUUGUGCAAUUCAAGGCUACUGGACCACAUAUGCUUUUAAGUUGACAGAAGCUGUAAACUUUCUGCAGGUCUGUAAACACUGUAAUUAGUAAGACAGAGACCCAAACCUAACAGCAUACCACACCAGUCUGCUAUCAAUACUUACCAGUGGUGUGUAGCCCUGUUGUGCAGAUGCUGUUUGUCUAUACUGGCUCUGCAGCACUUGGCUUCUAGAGCGCACUGAACAUGAAUAAUGCAUAAUAAGUGGUCGGACUCUGGUGGCCACUAACAGGUGCAUUUAACUCCUUUUUGUGUUCAUUUUUUAACAGAUGGUUCCUCUAUAAGUGAAGGUUUACUGGUCAAAGUAGCUGCUUGUUUUUUCUCUGAAUUCCUCCCUGGGUGUGUUUCCUUGAGUGUGUUUAUAUAGGUUGAAGAGCUGGCAACAGUGCAAACACGAAACCUGAGUGGCAGACCUCCGAGGACUUCGGUAUCUAUGAGUUAUUCUUAAACAGCUAAAAGCUGUUGGCAGUAAGACAGUCUAAAUCAGUUUCAGUAUGUGAUAUAUUUAGAGAGUUUUAUUUUCGGCUCUACGUGGAUGACAAAGGAUGUGACAGUUUUCAAGUUUUAUAUGUGACAGUUAAAAAAUGGAGGAUGAUGCAUUUUUGCUUUUUUAUAUAUUCUGUGAAACUACUAGACUCAUCUAACCUGAUGCACUUACAUCUCCUAUGAUCUGGAUUUCUUUGGGGGCCAGUGCAGCCUGAUUUAACUCCCCGAGCUCCUGCUAGUUCUGCUUCUGUCACUUGAUUUGUUUCCUCCCUCGUGUGAGUGGACAUUUUUUGAGCUCUGUGUUGCUGAUCUUUUUGUUCGGGCUCCAACAUUAGGCUCAGAGGAGUCUGUGCUCUCGCUCAUUUAAUUAUGCCCAUGUGAUGUACUGGCUGAGAGCUACACCUCGCCUGGCUUCCCUAAUCUGAUGGCAAAUAAGGCUGACAUCCAUCUCGCCAUGUCAGAAAGCGUAAUGGCCACACUUUCUCUUCUCUCUUUGGUCUACAUUGAUGCAGGACAGCCAUUCAGCCUCCACUCCCCUCUCAUCCCUCCUUUACUCUUCCCAUUCAUCACAGGAAGUCCCAGCAGAUGAGAUCGUUUAACAGUGGGCGUGAAUGGUGAUGUGCACUCUCUCCGUCUGGUAAAGAAGGCCCUCUGCUAUUUGGACUUCGUAGCCCAGCUUCAGAGGACUCUGUCAUUGGGAGCGACAUUUUAAUUAGACCAUUAACUUCUAGAGAGACUCCGCUAGAUAUCUUGAUGAACAGUUUUCUCCCCCCAAUCUAAGACUCAAACUGUGGGCCUCCACACACCUCUGACAACAUCUUCAUACGCAUCAUUUCCACCCAUCACAGCCUGAGAGUCUUCCUCCCAAAUGCACUGCACACUGCCAGUUUCAGCCUUUGUGGCUCAAUAAGAGAGAUGGGAAAAGAUUGCAGAAGAUUAUAUUGGAAGCGGACAAUGCUGGGAAACUACACUUCUUACAAUUCUUUUCCUGAUCCCAUUAUGUGCUCUCAUGCUUUUUUGAAAGUCAGUUUUAAAAACGCAUGCUCGGAUCUCAGAUAUGGAGAAAAAUACAUUUUUGUAAUGUGACAGCUAUUGUUGAAACCCUAUUUUCAGGUCCACAGACAUGGAAGCCAGUUUGCACCUUUUAACAACAUUCAAUGCUGCAUACUGAGGUAGAGCUGACUGAGCCUGAAAUGACAAAUAAUGUGUCUUUUGUGUGAAAUGAAUGAAGGAAACCAAGAUAUAUGUGAUCAAUGGGUUAAAGAAAAAUAUAUUUAUAAAAAUAUGAAAGCAGGUGUCAAAAUAAUCUUCAACCAAUCCAAAAAGCACAGUCAUACAAACAGAAGGGCACAUAAAACAUGGAAGUAGUCUUACUGUUGUGUUUCUGAAGCCAUCGAUGGCUAAGCGAUUCUGGCUGACUGAACUUUCAGCAAACCAUGAAAGAGGCAAAGAGAUUUUUUAAAAACCUUUUAAAGGGAAAACAGCUUGAAGAACACAAAGUUGCACACACAGACACUCUGGGAGCCAACAUUAAAAUAAACAAUAAAUAAAAAGAAACUAUUUCAGAGUCAGAAUCAAAAAAUCAAAUUUGGUUAAUUUUAGCUUUAAAAACACGGAAUAACAUUACCUCUUUGAGUUCAAGUCACUCUGCGAUAAAUCCCAGUUUUAGGGGGCAGAACACUCAAAAGCUCUUCUUCUACCAAUUUCUGUAGAAGAGCUUGAUUCCUAACUUCAGAAUCUUCAAAAUGAAUGAGUAACAAAGAAAAUCCACUCGUACAAUUAUAAAACUUGGCUUUUCAGAAUAAAACUGAUGUGUUUUGGUCUUUGUAUCAGGCUGUAAACAUGUUCUUUCGUGCUUUUUAGGGUGUCAAUAGGACUCUCUAAGCUAACGUGUGUGGUUUUUAGUCUUUUGAUCAUAGAAUUUGAGUUAGAUUGUGUAGUUUCAUUACAUAAUUUAACCUCAGAGGUCAUUGGUUGAUACCAGCAUACAGAAUUACCAAUAAUAGUUGAAACCAAGUGGUCAAUUGCAUCAAAUAAACAUGCAGGAUGAGGUUUGAAAAUUCUUUAUUUUUACUUUCUAAAUUCUACAAUAAAAAUAUUGAAAGCACAAUCAUAUCAGACGCACCAGUUUCUAUUAUGGCUAUUAAAAUGCUGAUGUUGAUUAUAGAACAGCUUGACUGUAACUGCUUCAGUUGAUAUUAUUAUCCCUACCUCUAUUAUCAUUGUCAUUAUUACAAAUGCAGCUAUUAGAUCUGGUGACUCUAACUGCCAUAAACAUUAAGAUUGGUCUAUUAUCAUUGAUUUGCUUCCUGUAAAUAGUUCACAUACCUUUAUGAUUAUAAUAGGGACUGUAACUUAAACUCUGUGUGAGCUGCAGUUGUUGUUUUUGUUGUUGCCUGUCUCUAUCCCUCCCUUCUAAUUCCAACAACUGUGAGUGUCCCAAGUUUUGGCACAUCAUUUUGCAGUCCAGUCUGGUUGUUUCAGUAGACUGAAAACUUUUUUUUUGACUGCAGGGCCUUUACUUGGUAGAGACACCUACCUUACCCUGUUUGUACUACACUAUCAGAUUCCUCCUUUGCUGUACUUUUUUGACAGUGUGCAACAUAAAGCCAAAAUAACCCCCAACAAAGAGAGAAAUUGACAGUGAAACAUGCACUAUCUAAAUUUGUGACUCAGAGUUGAUGGAGGUAAAGCUGGGUAAACAAACAUGACCUUUUAUGUUACUGUCUAUAAAUAAUGGAGAUGUUGUGAACCUGAAGACCCUUCACAAAGUUGAUUUUCUUGUGAGGAUGGUGCAUUCUAAGAAGUGGAAAAAAGAAUACUGUUCUUUUUUUCUUUUUUCUUUAAUUGACCAAGAAUGUCAAGAAGAAAUUUUCAUUUUGGAGCGGUGAACAUUGACCAUGACAUGGUUAAGAGGCAAAAGGCAGUCACCUGGACCACCUCAUAUGUAGACCACCUAUUGAACCAUACAGUCAGAAAGACACCCAACCACGACCAGGAAGUGUGAAAUGUACAGAAGGACAGGACCUUACUUUCUGUAUUGAUUUCUGUGCAGUUGCUGACUGUGUGAAAUCACAACAAAGACAACAACAACAAUCAGAUAAAUAUGUAUGUAUUACCUCAGGAGCAUGUCAGACAAAUAGUGCGUUACUUCAAUGGGACACCUGUAUCAUAGACAGUGUAGAGACAGGGUUAUUGUUGUGCAUGUUCAAGGAUGAGACCAGCAUUAUGAACUAUUCCUCGUCUUCUGAUAUCAACAGCUAAUAUGCCAAAUUUGAAUUAGGCAUUACGCUUAUUUCUUGAUCAUUAUCACAUCCUCCAGUAUAACCUGUUUUCAGGCUGGUUGGGAGGAAUGAUUGGAAAGUGGAAAACUCUGUUUUUUUCAAAUUUUUCCUCAUUGUGUGUCGCUGUGGUCACUAUAAUGACUGUCACUUUAAUAGCAUGUGGCUAUUGCAUGAUACCCUGUGUUAGAUCCUCAGUGGUCUGACUCAUAGAGAUGAUUGGUCCAUACUCUGGACUAGCACAGACCAAGCUUAUGUUCAGCUGACUCAAACUCUUAAGUUAUGUUACACUUAGGAUUCAGGAGGGAAAUAUUAGAAAACUGCUAUCCAAGAUGUGCAUGAAGGUUACAUAAUAAAGAUAGUGUGAAGGAUAAGGUCACUGUGAUGUUUGAACUAUGCAAGGACAGCAGACACUUAAUGAUUAGAAAGAAACCAAGGGUAAGAGUUACUUGUUUAGGGUUGACCGUUGACCAUAUUUGGAGAUGAUGAUGAAGAUGGAGGACUGAGGAAGCGAGGAAAGAAGACUCUAAAAACCUCUCAAUCAGGGACCACUUAUAUGUAUCUACUUAAUGCUUCAUUCUUGUAAGAACCAUACUUUCAUUACAUAUCCUGAACUAUGGAGUCCACUUUUUGUCAUUUAAGAAAGAUUUUUCAAACUGUUUUUCAUCCAAACCUCUGAGAAGGGGCCUGUCUGUAUAAGUCCACUCGUGUAAAGAUUGUAUGUAUUGUUCAGGUUACGAUGAGAGCACCCUCUGCUGGAUCGCGUAGAAAGCCACUUUAGCAGCCUAACACUGGUAUACUGUAUUAUUAUGAGUUUAAAUGCCUCAUUACAGUUUGAAUGUAAGCUUUUCUCCCAGAGUUCAAAUGAAGGUUUAAAUUUUGAAUAAAAAGUGACAGCUUUUUGUAUUAUGAGUGGUGUAACAUUACAGGUUAACUCUUGUAACUCGUGUGUCCUUUUUUUAUUUUGCAAAAAAGUGCUGCCUUGACUUGUCUGCACCGCUUUCAUUAUAUUAUGACUGCAGGUUUACCGAGGUCCCUCACCCUUUUAAUGCUCGUUCUUAAACUGAUUGCUUGAGCUUUGGUUUAAUGUUGUGUAAAGCAUUUUAUAUUUGUUUUAUUGCCUUCUUAUAUUAAAAAAUGCAUUCAUAUAUAUUUUAUGGCAGUGGUAGACCUGUCUUAUGAGGUGUUAAUUUUUCAGACAGUCACAACAGGUAAAUUCUGUGGCCGCUCAAUAUCUCUGAGAAAAGAGUCAAUUGCGAAUCAGUCUCAGCAAACGCAAAGAACGAAACUUAUCUUCCCCGACUUUAAAACACUGCCACACAGCAAGCAAUGAAAAUAAGGAGGGGAGUAGCAAAGAAAGUACCAAUUCUCCAAACCUAUUGAAAAUAACUCUCGCCAGACGGAUGAGGUGAGAAUGAAAAUAGAAGCAUACAAUAGAGGAAAGACUUUGGCUUUUUUCUCUUGCCUGUGAUCAGUAAUCACUGAGGCAGACAGAAGAGAGUAAUCUCAGAGAGGGUUCAACAAUUCUGCCCAUCCUGAGAUUACAUUAUUUUCCCAAAUUGCAAGUGAAGCCUCUCAAUCCACCAGCCAAUGAAUCAACAGUGUAGGGAGGAGAGAGCGCAGCGGGCAGUGCUGCUAAGACAAGGCGUGUGCGAGGCAUCCUAUUAAGGGGAGAAAACAACUGGGAAUAGCAAAGCAGUGCAACGGCUGUGGCAAAUAAUUUCACAAAACCCGAUUGGAGAGCUGCUUUGGAGAAACCGUGAUCUGUUGGAAAUGAGUAUGUGAUGUGAAGGUGGGAAAACUUACAGCCAAUAAAAAAAGACAUUUAUUUUCACUGCUGGGAAUGAUGAUUGACAGGGCUGACUGUGUUUACAGGUGUAGGUGUUUUGAUAUCUGAAUAAAAACAAUUAACGUCUGAUGGGUCAGAGCAUAAAAAAAAUUAAAUAUAAAAAAGUUGUCAGUCUUGUCGUGUUUUUUUUUUUUCUAUACAAUAACAAUGAUGCAUCACAAUAAAUUUUAAUUUAUUUAAAAAAUGUUUAAAAAAUCUCCUUACAGGAGCUUUAAUGUUAAUGGUAAACCUGCAGAAAACCUGUCUUUUGCUGUGACUUUUCUUUUUUCACAUUCAAAGUGUCUUUUUGUACUCAAUUGUCUGCUGCAAGGAUUAUUAUUUUAUUUUAUUUUUUAUUUUUGGAGGAAUUAAUCUCUAUUUUUCUUUUCUCUAUCUUUCUUUUUGUAGUCAGUUGUCUGCUACGAUGAUUACUAGGGCUACAUUAAGAAAAAAAUAGUUGUUGAUUGUGUCAAAAAUAAGCCAUGUACUUCCGUUUUAAGGGGAAAAGACACAAGUCUCAGCUUUUUUGGGUCACAAUACUCAUAGUAUUGAUGUGCCAAAGUGGUGUGAAAUUUAACAAGACGCUCUACGAGGCUGCUGGCUGCUUACUGUAAACCCAAAAUAAGACUUUAUUCUCAUAUCAUCACAAUUCAAGUCCUGUAACCUAAUGACUUUAAUUUUGUAUCAUUAUGGUCUCUAUUUUUGUGCCUCACCGGAGUGGCGUAGGUGCGGCUAAAGUCAGGUCCGCCACGCCGAUGAGGUGUGCCCAAGCACACUUUGGUAUCUUGGUGAGCGACGAAGCCCGGCGUAAGUAUCCCCCCUCCCUAACUCAGCUCCUCCCAGCGGCGCAAGUAGCAAGAGGGAAGGGAGAAGGCGUGGAGUGGAUUUAACACAGCCGAGUCUUGUUUUCACCAUCACAUCAGCUCCUCCUCCUCCUCGCCUUUAAAUCCGCCACCGGUGAGGUGUAUUGCAAUUUUCAGGAAGUAGUCGAAGAGAUCAAGAGAUGGCUGAAGACAGCAAUGCCACAUGAUGGCGACAGGAGGCAGCUCCUCAACAAGUGUCGCAGUAAGGGCGUCUUUCACACUCUAUCAAAUAAGCACAGAGGGAUUUGGUGUGUGUAAGGUUGUACCCACUAGUAAGACAAACACCCUUUUUCCACAAAUAUAGAUAAUCACAUCAAGUUGCAUAUAUUUAAACCCCACAUGACAGAGGUGGGUUUGUGCGCAAAGAUCGCAACACAAACAAAUUACAAUAAUGGCAUUAAAAUCGGAACCACCUGUGCAUAAAUGACGCAUCUGUGGCCUGUCUCUUUCUUUCAUUGAUGUUGGCAUAUAAAAUUAACUUGGCUCACGCAACUGAAUAUUAUUAUAUUUGUAUGUAGGCCUGACCCCGGAUUGAAUAUUCACAGAAUUUUAAGGAUGUAAAAACAUUAGAUAAAUGUGUCAUUUUGAAUGAAAGUUUCUUUUAUUUAUUUUUUUGUGCUCAUCAGAAAAGAUAUAGAUCAGAAUAUAUUGAUAUAGAUCUAAAUGUUUGUGCUGACUCAGAUAGUAGCACUGAUUAUUGGUUGUUGUUGUUGAUUAUUUACUGCACUGAAAUGUGCCUGACACUGUGGAAACCUGCCAGUGAGGCAUUGGUGAUGUUUGGGUACUGCUCCACUGGUUUACCAAAAUACUACAAGACCAGCUGCGCUCCACGUGUGCUGACAGUUGACCUGUGUUGUGUCAUAGAACAUAAAAAUAGAGCCCUGUGACAUUGCUAGGACCUCAUUCUUAAGAUGAUGACUUUCACAUGACUCCUGAUAACAAUAUGACUUAAUCUUGAAAUUUUAUGUCUCUCCUAUAAUUUUACCUCUGUAAUAUUUAGCCUUCAUGCGACUUUAUUCUUAUUAGGUUGAUCAUGACUUUAUUUACAUAACAUUAUGACUUGAUUCUCCUACAACUUUGUUGUCAUAACAUGAUUUUUUUGUAUUUAAUGUUGCUGUAAUACUCUUUUAUGCAGCUCAUACAUUAGAGGGUAGAAUAAUGCGCUCUGAGUCACCCUGGGUUUGGUUAGUUGAUGCGUGGGUCUGUCCAUGGUGCUGAAAUGGCUCUCAUGACUUACUACAGUUUCUAAUUGGUGAUUACUAUUUAAUCCACAUUUACAUCUUGGCGUAAUUCAUGUUCAUAGCAAUAGUUAUGCCCAAGUUGAGGUGAUGAUGUGUUUUACAAAACUUAUUUGUUCACAGGCAAAACUGAGCAUCCGUAGGGUAACUGGAAGGUCAAUCAGAGGGCACUUUUUAAAUUUAUAUCCUAAGAGAGAAAUGAGAGAGCACUUUGUCUGGUAAUUCUGGAGCAGGAUGAUUACCAGAACUGAUUUUAACAUGUUUUCAAAGAAAUGCCAUCAGAGAGGGAAUUCAGGUAUUUUUAUUUCACGGAAGGAGCAUCCAUGAGGGCACUGGGGGGUGACCCUCCCACCUCCUCCUGAGUGCACCACUGAAAUUAACCAACUAAAGCACCAAAAUCAGCAGCCAAAACAGACUUUGAAAGGCAGUUUUUUUGUCUUUCUGAGAAAUGUUUGCUGGAAUCUUCAGUGCCAAGCUGUUUUGGGAAAUCACUUAGCCUGAAUGAGAACAGGGAAAUAUCUGCCUCACUUACAUCUUCAGUGGAAACAAAUUAGCUUUGGGCUGAGUGCAGCAGGCUGAGAGCUGGACAAAGGCAAAUAUGUUGGUGUUUAUGGGAUUUAUUGACAAUAACAGAGAUAGAAAAUAUCAUCAGCCUGAGUCUUUUUGCCAGAGCUGGAUGUCUCUGUCAGUAGUUUCAUGGGAGAUGUUUCUUAGCCAUUCAGAUAUCCCACAGAAAUAAGGCAAAAAGAAUAAAUAACCACCAAAUCCAGUGAUACAAGCCCCCUAUCUGCUGACAUGACAGUCUUUGUCUAAUAAAUAAAGAAAUAACUCCUAUUUCAAAGAAUCAAUUUCAGCUCAGAUCCUCAGGGGUUGACAGACUUAAACCAGCAUGUUUGCUCAGCCAAUCAAUGAGUCUGAACCACCAAAGGAAAAGAAGCCACGGUGCUAUUGAUUCUGGAAACCUGUGACACCUUCCACUAUCUGUGGAGACCCUUAAGCACAUCUUGCUGUGAGUCCUGUUCAAAAGAUCCAAAGGCGUAUUCAGCAGAAGCUCAUAUCCUGUCUGUGAUGAUCAAAAGUCAGGUUUCAUGACAAUAAAGCAGCACGAGCACUUCAUAAUCAAAGAGACCUGACGAUAAUGAACCACGCUGCAGCCUUAGUGGGAAAAUAUGCAUUUUCAUAAUUAAAUGUUUCUAUUCCAGCAUCGUCAUAUCUUAUCUGUGGUUUGACUCAUUCAUUACACACUGUAGUAAUGGACUCUAUGUUCAGGGGUGCAGUGUAAUUCCUCAUACAACCCACAGACAAAAAAAACACACACUUAGGCUUAAAACCUUAGGCUAUUUUUACAAAUAUGCUCAAUUUUAUAUGGACACCAUUCUCUGUGUACAUAAUUUGAGUUUCUGAGUAUUGAAAACGACUACCCUAACUCAGAAAAAUAUAACCCGAGGCAUAAUUGGAUGAGAGCAAACAUAUUACUAAGACUUGAUAGUGCCAAUUAACAUUUUGCAAAGACAGUAGUCUCUGGGUGAAGGCGCAUCUGAGUGAAAGAAUCAUUUUCAACAUUCAAACUGAUUUAACUACACAGAAAAUCUACAGCUCCUAUUCUGGAUUUAAAAAAAAGGACUAUGUCUGACCUUAACAACUAAAAAUUACAUUAAAGUUUAACACUGUGGGAUAUCAAUGAUUCUGUAUUAGGCUUGAAUAGAUAAAGAUUUGUAGAUAUAUGGCCUUUUAUUCUCUAUAUGUGUGUAUGAAGUCAAAACCAAGCAAGAUGAAGCUGAAUAUGAUCUGAAAUACUAUCAUAAGACCAUUUAAUUCUCACUUAUGGAUUUUUAUUGAAGUUUACAUUGCUUUCAACCUUUGCUUUCCAGAGGCGAGAGACAGUAGUGAGAUGUGCAGGAUCUUUGCUGUGGUGUUUUGAGUGAUUAAAUCAGUUUUUUUAAGAUAUGCUUAUUUUGUAUUUCAAAAGCUAAAAGUUCAAAAUGUUAAAAUUCAGAUUUAGUUUAGUUUUGUGCACUUUUUUAUCUUCUGCAACACGAUUAAACUGUUUGAAAAUAAAGUGUGAUAUAAAUAAAAUCUGAUGGAGUGUCUUCACUAAUUAUAUCAACUAAAACAGUUCUGUAGCUUUACACUGAUAACUUUUUACCCAGCUUUCUUACUUAUUACUCAGCUGUGCAAACGGCUUGUUUCUGUUCGGUUAAUGCCAUCGAAUUAACCAAUCAUAGACUUUUCUCCACUGCCUGUUCAGACUGUGGCAAAGAUCUAGAAAAGUCAAACAACAUCAUAUCCUGCAAUCCAGGCAACAACAGCACAGCUAGUGAGGGCAUCCCUGACAAAACAGGGCAGAGAUAAUGGCUACAAUGUUUUUUUUCUUUUGUUUUUAUUUUAAUUCAAGUUGUGGUUUUUGCCUCAUCUAUGUAAAGGUGUGUCAAUGAUGAGAUAGAGGCUAAAACAACAUUUAAAGCCUUGUAGAAAACCCAUUCAUGUUUUACAAUUUCGUUUUCAAGUUUAACUGAAUAACAAGAAAUAAUCAACCUACAAAUGUUCCUACAGAUAUCUUAAGUUCAGUUUAAAGGUUAUUGUUUUAGCAGGUUAAUGUUUUAACCUGAUUGUUACCUAAAAUUUUGUUUACUUUUAUACUUGUUUGUACUUCAAAGUCCAUUAGGAGGACGUGGUAAAGACUAUUUACCAUGGACAGACUAUUUUUUGUUGUACAUUUAUCAUUUUUAAUCAAACAAACCAUUUUUAACUGAAGAGUCAGUGUCAAUAUAUUCAUGACCUUAGUCAGCAUAAUUAGCCGUAGAAAACCUAGUCAUAUCUGCGUCUACACCUCACUAUUAUUGUAAUUUCUCUAACUCCUCAUGUCCCCUGUAUUAACGCUCUGUGGGGGAUUCAUUUAUCCAGAGCAUCCUGCUUAAAAAUAUGUACAAGAUUAGGUUUUGGUAUUUACAAGAAUGAUAAAUUAGUUUUUAUCAAAUAGUUUUGUCUUCAACAAAUUUUACCAUCUAAAAGCUCAAAUAAGUGCAUUACUGCAAACAAUCUUUUUGAGCAUACUGAUAUUCGUUUUUUAGAGUUUUUAGAUGUUAAUGACACUGGUUGAAAUUUAAAUUGAAGCCUGUUUAUGAUAAACAAAAGAUCAUCAGUGUCAAGAUCAACUAAUUUUAUUUAAUAAUUUUUCAUACCUGACACUUGUGCAGGUGGAACAGCUUUGUUUUUACAGUUUCCUCUUGACAUAUUUACAACAAAUAGUAAAAUUGAAUGUAAGAAAUUCAAGGUGAUGAAAUUUUAUGUCAGAAAAAAAAACAAUUUAGGUAUAUAAAGAAAAACAAACCAAAAAUUCCUCACAGGAGCUUAAAAUGAGCCAUGAGUACUGUCAAAUGGUUUUAUUCCUUGUGUUCCAGCAUUAUUCAUAUCAUCCUGGUUUAUAUUAAUGCAGAGGAUUAAAGCGUUCACUCAAAGCAUGAUAGAAAUGAAAGAAACAAAGAUCAAAUUGUCAUUAUGUGGACUUGAAGGACCAUUCGUUUGACCUUUCUUGAACUCUUCUGCCCGGCCGUGUGUGCAACACAUAUAGGCAUCUCAAUAGAUGAGUAUCCUUUCGACCUUCAUCGUAAUUGGAGUUCAGCAUCAAGUAAAUGGUGUGAAAAGUUGGUUGUGAUCCUGUCUUAAUGCACAACUGACCACGAUAAGUCACACUGAUUGCAUUUUAAUGCUGUGAGGAAAGAACAACAACCUUAAUGGUCCUGUGUUGGCACAUGGCACUGGACGUUGACAGAGACGGAUAUCACCCGCUGAGGAGACGAGUCAAUCAGAGACACGGCCGCUGCCAAGUACUUGUUGUCGCAUUUUUUGUCUCCGCUGGAAGGGUCAGAGUCAUCGUGCUCUCCACUAAUACAUCCCGUCCCUCACGUCCCCUAAUAGCUCGCACCUUGACCGUGUCGGCUGAUCAGCACCUGUGACUCAUCUACUGCAUAUGCUGCACAAACAGCAGCUGCCUCAUAACAACAUAAUUGCUGCCCUGGACUUUGUAUUUAAAGUGUAAACUAGAACAAUGAGUAUAAUCUCUGCAGUCUCAUCUCACAAAGUGACCUUAAUAGAUCCACCGGGGAUAGGUAUGGCUGUUGAUUGAUACCAAUGAGUCACUGAUUACAUUGACACGUUGUCAUACUGCUGAUUCUCCAACAAAAUUUCAAGACACUGAGACUGAGCAUCUACAAGCUUCAGGAAAAAGUGUUAUUUAUGUUGUAAUUGUCUCUGCAAAUUUGGACUGGGAUUUAGGUUUGAGUUGGACACAUUAAGGGCCUGAUCUACUAAGAUCCCAAAUAGGGAAUGCUAAAUUACGUGUGCAAAUUAAAAAUUGCACAUAUCAUUUUGGGGAACUGCAUAAAAGACAAGCAAGGCAAGUUCAUCUGUAUAGCACCCUUAAUACACAAGGCAACUCAAAGUGCUUUUCAGAUGCAAGAUAUACUAGAAAUUUAAAAAAAAAAGUAGAAUAGAAUAGAAUAGAAUAUUCCUUUAUUGAUCCCCCAUGGGGGAAGUUUUUUGGCACAGCAGCAUCACAGACAAAGAGUGAAAAAAUGCAGUUAUAAAAAUAAAGAUCCUAAGAACUUAAAUAAAUGUAAUAAUUAAGAAAAAAAUUUAGAAAAAGGAAAAAGGGAGAAAAAAAAUAAAACUAUCUACAAUAUACACAAUUUAAAUGCCAGAAAAAAAGUGGUGGUGUGAGUUCAGUUAUUAUUACAGUUUGUUGUAAAGUCUUAUUGCAGAAGGGAAGAAUGACCUGUGGUAGCGCUCUGUCUUGCAGGGUGAGAGUCUAAGUCUGCUGCUGAAGGAGCUGCUUAAAGCCCGCACAGUCUGGUGCAGUGGGUAAGAGGAAUUAAAAAAAAUUAUAAAUCAAUAAGACAUAUAAAUGUUUUUUGUCUGUUCCAUGUUUUACCUUAUUAUUUAUGAAAAUCGUCAUUUACCAUAAAAACGAAAUACAUCACAAGCUUUUGGACAAGGAUCAUGGCGUCUAUCAUGGCACUUCGUAAUGCUGUGCCAGUUUGCUCGUGCCUUUCAAACGUGCGAAAUAUAGACGCAAAACUGCAAUUAGUUUCCAGUUUUGACAAAUCACAUUGUAGGUGCUAAAUGGUUCUAUUUGCAUCUGCUCCUCACCGUAUUUUGCGUGUUCUGAUGAUCUACAUACAUUCUGCAUAUUCAUGAAGGCAAACAUGCUAAAUCAAUUCUGUGUGCUGUUUUUUCUCAUUUGACAGACGCAAUCCUCGUUGCACCUGGCCAGUAGAUCAGGUUUGUGUGCGCUAUCAAGUUUGCAUGUGUUUUUGCACAUGCAGAACUUUAGUAGAAGUUAAAUCCAACAAAACUUUUGAAACCACUUUUUUUUUUUAAUAUAUCAGUGUUCAUUUUUCCAUUUUCAGUUAAAGGUCUGUAUGUUUUUCUACCGAGUGUGAUGCUCGUGCAGCAUACACAGGAUUUUACUGUUUGUUCUUGCCCUGAAGUUUGGUCCAGUUAGUUUUGAAUUUCUUCACUUCUCUACAACUUUUCCAAUCCCUGAGGCCAAAGUCCAGCUCCUGCUUCUCAGCUUGCACAGGUGAAAAUUUUCAGAGGUGACAAAAGGUCACUGUAAACCCGGGGUUCUGACAGUGGUUAGCAGUCAGCUUUCACUCCUGAGCAGAAAAGGACAAAGUUUUGUUCUGUACUGCAGCUCUGCAUGGGCCCUACUGCACAAGUCAUCAGUCACACAGGUGUAGAGCGGAGAGGGUGGGCACAAUCCAGAGCAGGAUUGAGCUGACUGAUGGGUAACUGCAGUAAAGCUGUGCCACUGAGGCGAGCCAUCUAUUAACGUCAGCCCUGCCGAUUGAGCACUGAGUCUGGGUCUGCACGCUGCUGGUUUGGAGCAUUUGAUUUUAAAGCACAGGUGAAGGUUGGACUGAGGACAUGACCCACAUUGCAGCUUGUGUUAAAUGUGCAGAAUUACACCAACAAUAUCAUGAUCACAGCAAGAAGAAACAGAGUGACAGAGAUGCAGACCCAACGUUGUAACGUUCCCAGUCAUUUUUAAAAGUCAAAAACUGUUCGUCCAGGUUUGUGCAUGACUCAGGUGGACUGCAACAGACAUGCAUUAUGGCAGCAUGAGCUGACAAGUCAAUGUGAAGUUACACCAUUCCUUACGUCGCCUGGCAUGUUUUUAUCCUGUUACCUGUAGCCUGCCUGCAUGAUGGAUAAUUACAACUCUUUAAGAAGAAGGCUUAAAUCAACGUAAAGUAACAGAUGGAUUUGGUGUGUGUAAGGUUGGACCCACUAGUAAGACAAACACCCUUUCCACAAAUAAAGACACUCACAUAAAGUUGCACAUAGUCAAACCUCACAUGACAAAGGUGGGUUGUGCCCACAGAUCACAACAUAAAUUCCAAAAAUGGCAUUAAAAUCGGAACCAUCUGUGCGUAAAUGACGCAUUGCGAAAGUGGCCUGGCUCUUUCUUUCAUACAUGUUGGCAUGUAAAAUAAAUUUGGCUCACAAAACUAAUAUUAUAAUAUUCAUAUGUAGGCUUAAAGUAAAUAACUCAUCUGAUCACUGAAAAAAAUCAUCGGUUCAGCCGCCGCGGCAGCAGCUGCAGCAGGACGGGGAGAGGACACAUGUCUAGGAUAAUUACAACUCUUUUAGGAGAAAUAUAGUCUCUGCUCAUCCAUAUACAUAUAUAGACUCUACUUAAGCUAUCUGCCAUCGUGAAGGCAUUGAAGCCUCUGCAUUUUUGCUAUAGUUUGCCAGCUGGGAAAGAAAAAACAAAACCUUUACAAGGUGGUUUGAAUUGGCUCCUGAGUUGAUGGGACAACAGGAGUAAUUUGUAUAGGCAUAUAUGCAAAACCGCCCCCACUCAAGCUUUCAGCUCCCCCAGAUGCUAAUGUGGGUUUGCAUCAGAGUUGCAGAGUCAAGAUUUCGAAGGUUAGAGUUAGGAUGCCGCCUGCUCUGUUAACUGUUGCAAAAAAAGACACAGAUGUCUGUAUUUCUGUCACAGCUCUGGAGAACUGCGGAAAACUGUUGUUGCUUUUUACUUUUCUCCAAAAUUAGUACGUUUACAUGUUUGAAAAGUCAGUUUGUUGCAUAAGUCCAGCUGAAACUGGUCCAAUCAAGACACAUGUAAACACAUUAGUCAGAUUAAAAGCAUAAUUGGACUUUUGCAUCUAAUUAGCAUGAUUGGGGAUCACUGUGGAAACCUACCGGUGAGGCAUCGUGAUGUAUGCCGAUAUGCCGCAGGUCUACCAUAAUACCACUAGAACAGCUGCACUCUGCCUGCACUGAAAGCUGACCAGGUUUGAAUCGGCGAGGUUUCAGCGCACUUUAUACACCACCGGCGAGCACGAAAAUGUCACUGUGGCAGCUGAUUCUGUCGACACCUCCCUCUGCCAUGCCCCCAGCUUGGCAGACCUCGGUGUGCCUCAGUUCACAAAAAUACCAAACUGGCUGUGCGCCAGGCUCCGCCAGACGAACUGCAUCUGCGUGGGGUCCGCCACCCUCCGCCGCCUCACUGGUGGACACGAAAAUAGAGCCCUAUGUUUCAGCAGCCAAUCAGUGCAGAGUCUCAUUUUCACAGCAUCCCUGCCCACUUAGAUUACUGCAGGAAUAAUAGGGUUAGAAACUGAGGGGCUGCACACCCUCCACAGAGGACAAAUGUGUAAUGUUUUAAUGACAGAACUCAAAAUCUUAAUAAAAAAGACAAUUAAUGAACAGGUACCUUAAUGUAAAAGGGGUUCAUUUAAUCCCACUUUAAUCAACACAGCUAUGCAAAUGUAGUCCUAUCCCAGGUGUAUCAGUAAACUUAAGGCUCAAAAUAAUGCUUUAAUAUACAGACUAGCCAAAGCUAUUUAAAAAAGCUGAGAUCUUUGGAUAAGCAGUGAAAACUUACUCCACAGCCAAACUAAUAAUCAACAUUGAAGCUUUGUUGAAUAUGCUCUGUGAUGUCUUCAUGGUCAGAAAUAAUGGCGUGCAUGAAUAUUGGUUAAAAAAAAACAUUGAACCGCUCUCUUUGUCCAUAAUGAUCUGUUGCUCUUUUGUAUGUUUCUUUUAAGGCACCAUGUUUUUCAGCAUUGACUGCAACAUUUUCCCAAUAAGGAUGAGCAGUACUUAACUCACACAAAACAAUCAGAGGCCAUUCAAGGCCAGGAUUCAUGCUUGUCUUAUAGUAAAUCCAUAGUAACCUCAGACAAAGCUGGAGUUUCUGCAAGACGCUCUUCCAGACACAGUUUUACUCUCUGGAUACAGACAUGCAUUAUUGUCUUCUCCAUAAAUAGAUGAUUACAAACUCACUCACACUCGGCUCUACUAUCUGUGAAGCACUCUCAGUGUUGUUGUCAUACUAUCACACAUACACCCAAAUGCCAGAUGAAAUAUUGACCCAUAUGAGAAAGACUGAACCUGCUUACCUGAUUAAAAUCAUUAAAAAUCUCUGAGAUUUGAGCCACAAUUUUUAAGACACACAGAGAUUUGAGCCUCUUCCAAUCCAUUUACCGAACACCCAAGAGUCCCCUCUGUCAGAAGAUUCUGUGGCGUCCUGAUCAAAUGUAAACCGAAGCCCAGACCAGUUCUUCUCUCCAACCACUAAUAAAUUUACAAUACACGCCAAACAACUAAAACUCAAAGUAAAAUGAGGUUUCCUCCUGGCUUUGAACGAACAGUUUCAUUCAUCAGAAUAUCUCUUUAUAUGAAGAUAGAGAGCAGCAACUUCCCAGACUCAAACAGAGAAAAGAGUCUAAGUACGGUUGCUGUAUGACAAGAGAUGAGGUGAAGGGCAGCAACCAUUAGAAUGUGAGCAUAAAAGUAUUACAAUGUCAUUAAAUAAAAGGGGAAAUAGAUUUUCUAUCAUCAAUACUUACUGAUCUAGACUACUGUUCAAAGGAACACCUUCAAUAUAAGGUGUUUACAGUGGUUUUAGCUGCCCAGUUUGUGCCAAUAUUUUAUGAACUAGGUGUACACAUAAUUUAAGGUGACCAGAUUUCUGAUAUAAAAUCAAGGGACAGGGAAUGAAUACUGUUGUUCAGGACUGUGCACCACAUGCUUACUCGCACUUCCUACCUACCGCUACUACCUUAAUAACCUAAUAACUGUUCUAGUCUACAUGCAACAUUUUUUUUCUCAUUUAUGAAAUGCUAACAUAAGGGAAAUUUCCAGGGACAGCUUUAGCCGGGGACAGGUCAUUCAAAAUGGGACUGUCCCCAGAAAUCGCGGAUGUCUGGUUACUCUAACACAACACUAAAUUCGGUUUAGUGGCGAUCAUUUCUCAAUCGGAGGGUUAGAUUCCCAGGCUGCCUUACAUGUUGAAGUGUCCAGCAUGUGGACUCUUGCCCCUACUGGUUACACUUAGUGGUGUGGUGGGUGAAUUUGGUGUGGAUGGGCGUACAUUUCCACCAUAUAGACUGAGAACUUUCAGGUCCACUCACUAAGUGUGGACCUCUGUUUCUGGUCAGGUUCUGGUCUUGUGUGAAGCAAUAGACAAUAAACUUUUCAGAAAGCAUUCUUGUCGUAUUGCUAGAUUAUAUUCAUGAUAUUAAGGAUUAUAACCCUAACCCUCUAAUCAGAAAAUGGGGAGGCAUUAAGAGUAAUAUAGAUUUCCUUGCAAUGUUAACUUUUUCAUCACAUCUGUUGUUUUCACCUCUGACACAACUGAGAAAUCAUCCAUCAUUUGAUUAAAAGAGUACAGGUUAGCCAGUCUGUCACUCUUAGAGUCAGUGAAAGUUAUCACCAACUUCAUAACCGGUCAUGCAGCUCAAAAACCGGGUCAUACUGUCAGUCCAGUUUGCAAAAACAGGUCAAUAAAAAUGAUCAAUUUGUCUUGUUGUAUAUUUCAUCCUAUUAUCUCGUCAAUGACAUUUUCAUUCUUGUUUUUCGUCUACUGACUUCCAUAGUAACCAGUCCCUUGAGAUGAAUUAACUCUUUUUUGUGUGUGCGUGAGAACAAUGGUCUCGGUGUGAGACAAUGGCGUGAUGUGUGAAUGAUUAUAAUGAUGAAUGUGUGUGAGACAGUGUGAUGAUAUAUGUAAGACCAAAUGAGUGUGUCGGGGGGAAAGAAUGACAGCGCAUGUGAAGAGAAAAUAAUUGCGUGUUUGACGGAGUAGGACUAUCUAAGUGAGAGACAAUGACUGUGUGUUUGAGAAAUUAUGAUGGUUAAUGCGAGAGGGGGUUGCAUUGUGUGUGAGAGGCUAUAAUUAAAAAGGAAGCUUGUUCAGCCAGACAAGCAGACAGCUUAAAUCUCUUUGCUUUCAUUUACUCAAAGACUUAAAAACAAUGCCUUUACACCUGAGCACCACCAGCUGAAUUGGAGAUACAUUUGCAUGAUCAGUGGAAGUGACAAAAUGUUUAAUUCAAGACAAGCUAAACUGGCCGCUCUCUCUAAUCUGCUGUUUGCUCCCUCUUUUUGGUGCUUUUGAGACAUUGAAGAAAUACUAGCAUGCUUCGGUACUGUCAGGGGUUUGCUCUUUGGAUACUGACAGCUAUAUGGAAUUGGCCCGAUGACCUUCAGGAAUGUCUGGUGAGGUUUUGACUCACAUUGUUGAUGAGAUAUCCUUUGAAGAAGCCCUAAAGCAGGUGAAAGGCAUGUUUUAUUUAGCCUUCCUUCCUGUAGUGCAAGAAUAUAUUGUUGGCCAUGAGACAGUGCAGCUUGACUUUACUCUACAGUGAUGCAUCCUGCAGCUUGGACAGAAGAAUAUAUGCUCAAACAUCUGCUUUAAUUAAAAGCCAUCGGAUCGUUUGCCCGUAGUUGUUGGUAGUGUUGUGGCAGAGUCAGAAAACCUAAAGUCUGAGUCUUGAGUCCUGGAUGUUGAAGUGUAAGUUGAGUCCACAGAGAAAUUUGUGCAAAUUUUAAGUCGAGUCCUGUCCCAGUGUCCAAGUUUGAGUGAAAUCAUGAACAUUUUUUAUUUUUAAAAGGAAGGUAUUUCAGCACAUUCUGUCGUAGUGCCCACUUUAUUUUGGACGUUUGAGUGUGAUAAUGCUUAUUUAUACCCAAUAAUUAGUAAAAAUACAAUAAGGCUGAUAUAGACACAGAGAUAAGUGUAAAUAGCUGAAGACUUAAAGGAGACCUGCCAUCAAAAUUUCAUACCCAUUUUUAUCAUUUUUUCAUAAUCCUUGAUUUCAAAAACACAGGACAUGAUGUUAAAAGAUCCAAAGUGCCUGGGGACUCUGCAUGGCAGGGGCAUCCUACUCCCUGAGCCAGGUUUGCACCUGACCGCAUACCUACACACUUGAAGACUUGAGCAUUGAGAUGUUGAGACAGCUGGACAGACACUUCACAGGGGUUAUCAAGUGGGUUCCUACUUUCACCAACGUUUCGCUGAUUUAACCCCACGACGUCUCCAGUAGGCUCAGCAGUGUAAUCUGGCAUCCCAGAAACACCCCCCUCUGCAUCUGCCCAACCAGUUUAUUUGGGAGACCAGCUAGGGUCUUUCCUUUUCAGCCAAAGCCACUGGCUACACCGCUCUGCCACUCUGGAUAGAUCCUUGAUGGCCUGGCAUAGGACUUGCCCACUGAUUCCCAGGUCCUUCAUCAGCCUCACAGUCGACGUUGCCACAAACCCCCGACAUCCAACUUCUGCUGGGCAGACCUUUGCACUCCAGCCCCUCUGUUCUGCUUCUGCUGCGAGAUCUGAAUAACGCAGUUUCUUUCGUUCAAAGGGUUCCUCUACCGCAUCCUCCCAAGGGACGGUGAGCUCCACAAAGUACACUCUGCGCUGUGAGUUGGACCACAGGACUAGGUCAGGCCUUAGGUUGGUGAUGACUAUCUCUGGUGGAACUAGGAGCUGUGUUCCCACGUCCACCAGCAUCUGCCAGUCUCUGGCUGCCUCCAGUUCGCCCAUUCUGGCCUUUGGUGGAAACUUCCUCUGUCCUUGUUUCCCUUCUCGAACAAACGCAAUCGAGUUGGCCGAGUUGGUUACUCUGGGCGGCAAGGCAUUGAUGGUGGUUCUUCUGCUUUCCAGACUUGCGGCCAGGCACUUAAGAACUUGGUUAUGUCUCCAAGUGUACCGCCACUUUACACCCAACAAGGAUGUGUCUGAGUGUAGCUCGUGUUGAACACGGGGGCAUGAUGGAUCUUCACCCACCCAUUGGUUGAGAUUUGUAGGUAGGAAGAACGUCAUAAGUGGAUCGGAUGAGAAAACUUAUCCUACUUGCCUCCAUCUCCCACAUGUCCUUCCAGCUGAUGGUUCGUUUCUCCACACUCUCCCAUCUCAUCCACUGGCCCUGUUUUACCUGUGACACCGCCUUGGCACACCUGUUUGACUCCUCCUGUCGGCGGACUUCGGCCACAACCAUCUUCCGACGCUCCCGAGAGGCUGCCUUGUUCCAGCACGGACGCUUUUCACCCAGUCCCAAGCCACCUCUUCCAUGUUGGACUUGGCCCACGAUGUCACUGUGGUGGAGAGCAGAUUUUGCCUGCUGUACUGCGUUCUUAGCCGUCCACUUCCUUCCUGAUGCCACAGUUGGAGCAGCAGCUCGGAUGACAGUGUCUUUUGAUUCUGCCAGGGUCAUCUCUAGUCUCACUUUUGUACAUUUGAACUCCUCUGUGAGGCUAGAGAGGGGCAGCUGGAGUAGCCCUUGACCAUAGAGGGCUACACUGCUGAGGCAUCGAGGGACCCCUAACCACUUUCUCACAUGAGAGCUUAUCAUCCUCUCCAUUUUCUCAACCCUUGUGAGCGUGAGACCAUUCAUGGUUAGUGGCCACAUGAGGCGAGGCAGUAAUCCGAACUGUAAGCACCAGAUUUUCAGCUUGCCGAGCAACAUGGAUUUGUCGAUGACCUUCAGACCUUUGAUGAGUUCCUGCCUGAGUUUGUGCGCCUGGUCAGAGUUCUUUAGCUUUGAAUUGUACCAUCUUCCCAGGCUUUUGAUUGGCUUUUCCGCGACCGUUGGGAUAGGUUCUUCAUCGAUGAAGAACCUUUGCUCCGUCAGUUUGCCUUUAACUAUGGAGAUGCUUCUUGAUUUGGAUGGCUUGAAUUUCAUUCUGGCCCCAGUGAUGUUCUCUUGACGCUUCCCUAGAAGGCGCCUGGUACACGGUAUUGUUGACGUCAUGGUUGUCAUGUCGUCCAUGUAGGCCCUGAUGGGCGGCAGCUGGAUUCCAGAUGCCAAGCGCUCACCGCCCACCACCCACUUGGAGGCUCUUAUAAUGACUUCCAUCGCCAUGGUGAAUGCCAAUGGGGAGAUGGUGCACCCUGCCAUUAUGCCAAUCUCCAUGCGGUGCCAUGUGGUGGUAAAGUCUGGCGUGGUGAAGCAGAGCUGAAGAUCUUGAAAGUAGGACUUGAUAAGGUGCUUGAUGGUCUCAGGUAUCUGAAAGAAGUCAAAAGAAGCCCAGAGGAAACUGUGAGGGACGGAUCCAAACGCAUUGGCAAGGUCAAGAAAUACAACAUGGAGAUCCCUCUUCUCCUUCUUAGCAGUCUGAAUUUGGUGCCAAAUCAUGCCGGUGUGUUCAAGACAUCCAGAGAACCCUGAAAUGCCUGCUUUUUGGACUGCCAUAUCCACAAGGUUGUUUCUCUCCAGAUAGCUGGACACCCUCUGAGCUAUGACGCUGAAGAAAAUCUUACCCUCCACAUUAAGCAGACUGAUUGGGCGGAAUUGGCUGAUAUCUGUAGAUUCCUUCUCUUUUGGAAUUAGGACUCCUCCUGAUUGGCGCCAUGCUUUGGGUACAAUUCCCUUUUCCCAGGCCACUCUCAUCAGUUUCCACAGAAAACAAAGAACAUCUGGAGCAUUUUUGUAAAGUCUGUACAGAACUCCAUUUGGCCCAGGGGGUUAUGAAGCUCUCGCCCGCUUGUUCCACCUCCCUCCACUUGGGAGGAUUAGUGUCCAUUUGAUGUUCGGGUUCCUCGAUUGGUGGAAUGUCAGAUGGAAUAGCUACCUGCUCGUGCUUCCUGUCAUCUGCACACAUUCUUUCCAGAAAUGUUUCCAGCUCUUGGCUUGAUGUUGUCAGGUUUCCUCCCUUCUCUUUGGUGAAGAGUGUUUUCACGAACUUGAAGGGGUCCUUGAAAAAACGGGAUCUUGCUCGUUCUCUCUUUUUCCGGGACUUUCGCAGGUUCUCUGCUCGUCUCAGAGUGGUUAGCCGGCUUUUGAUGUUUUCCUGUAGAAUGUUGAUGCCCUCCUUCUCAAGAUCAGAAGCCUUCCUCCACUGCUUCUUGAGCUGCCUUCUCUCCCGGAUCAGUCGGUCGAUCUCCUGCUGUCGUCUGGAUUUGCUCUCUAAUGCUGGUGCCCUUCCCUGCUUGUUCCUUACUCCAUACCGUUCCGCUCCAUAUGAGUAGAUGAUGUCUCCCAUCUUGUCAAGCUUUCGUUCGACUGUGCCGCUCAUGGUUUGUAGGACGCUGGUCAGGUCCCUGUUUAUUGUCUCCCAUUCUUUCUUCUCCGAGGCUCCAGGCCAUUUCACCCGGGGUUUGUUUCCACUGAUCUUUUUCUCCAUUGCUGGUUUUGGCUGGAUGGGCUCCAUACAUUCCUCUGCUGCCUCGUCCAAUGUGCUUGAGUGUCCUUCUUCAGGAGGACUGAUGUCCUGCGAACUUUGGUGAGAUUCCGGUCGCUGAACUUCAUUCGACUGACUUGAUUGACUUCUCAAGAAGUACGUAUCAAUGCGAGGUUCCUGUUUUCCUUCUUUCAAGCACUUUUUUCUCCCUUGAUGUAUUUUCAGGCCCAGUGACGAAGUCACACUUGAUGUCCUCUGAUCAUGUUUGCAACAUAAUUUUAGCUGAAAAGUUAUUUGAUGGUUUGCUUUAGUAUGCCUAAAAAGCCUUACAGGAAAACCAACUGAUUUUGGCUCAUUAACAUUUAUGGUAAUGAGCUUUGCUCUGAUUAGAUCGCUGCUGUGAAGCCUGCUGUGCUCUGAUUGGCUCAGCAGUGGAGGUUCGGAUUUCGGUUUAUCCAUUUUGCUAAUGUGUGCUAAAGUAAGGUGCCCAGAUGUCUGUAAUGAUAUCCGGGGAUAUCCGGUGCGGCAGCUUUUGCAGGGGACAGGUCAUCAAAUACUGGGACUGUCCCCGGAAAUCGGGGACGUCUGGUCACCUUAUGCUAAAGGCUAAAAAUGGCAGGUAUUAAACCAUAUAUUUUAGACCCCGAGUCCGAAGAGGAGGUGGAAGUUGAGGAAGAAGCCGGAGAGCUCCAGCUGUGUUUUCUCAUUCAUUCUGUCCAGCUUUAAGUUCAUUUUCCCAGCAGUGAACCCAAGGAAACACCGGUCGUUUGGAAGAGACCCAUAGCAGAUACAGUGGUAGCUGGAUCUCGCUCUGGUUGGAGAGUGAUGUUGACUGUGAAUGAGUACGAGAAUGAGAGAGUGGGCGCGGCUCACCGAGGACGCGCUCAUCAAUAAUAAUGAGCAAGGUCAGCGCGACGUCAGAGGGACCUGCUUUUUCAAUUGGCCUGGUUUAACCGUUCCUUUAUUUUAAGCCUUUACAGAAUGCAAACGACGUAACAGUUUGUUUUCACAUUUACAACUUAAGACGAACAUAAUAUGGACCUUAUCUGACACAAAAAACACAAAAAAUUACAUUUUGAUGGCAGGUCCCCUUUAAAGGUGGGGUAGGCAGGUUCUGAGGAAGUGCCAGUUUUUGGGAGAAAUCUUGAAUGUAAACACUACCCCUCUCAACCAGUUUUCCCCUCAGCUCCUCCUCUCCCCUCCCUCUCUGCUCCAGUAAGCCCCAUCCACAAACAGACACUUCUGCUCGCUCAUAUUGUUUCAAUUAAAUUCAGAUAUAAUACAGAUAGAUACUUCAGAUAAAUACAAAUGGGGCCCAGUCAAGGUGAAAGUAAAAAGCACUGGUGCUACUGUAGAUGCCAACAGACUACCAGCAACACAAUGUUUGCAGGACUUCUAAAACUAGCGUAAAGUGACAUAGUCCAGGACCUGAGGUCAACAGUUUAGCGGCGCUAUAGCACGCAGCAGGUCCCAUUUGACAAGAAACACUUCUGUUACAGACACUUGGCUUACUUUGUUAAAGUGGUUUACCUGUCCAGCAGAAAGGUUACAGGGUCCAUAAGAUCCCAAAGCGUCCCCCAUGUUUAUACUGAUGUUGACCUGGCUUCUUAGCUCUUGUCCAGUCUACCUCUUUUUUGAGCUUAUUAUUUCACCAGAGUCUGUGGUAUUUACUUCGUUUUCUUGCUUGUGUUGGCAGUCAUGGCCAAAGGAGGAUUCAGACAAUUUUCCAUACUUUCUGGUUGGUUUCUAUUGUUUAUUUGUCUGGGCUCGUGACCAUUAUUCAGCGUGCAUCACAACAUGAGGGAGCAGAGUCUGCCUCACAACCAAUCAGGUUGGAGGCAGAGAAUGGCUUUGUUAAUAGUCAGAAAGAGCAGGCAGCUCAAAAAUUGUUAAAAGUUGACUACACAGACAUGACAAAACAUAAUGAUAUCAUUAUAUUACCAAAUGCCAUUAAUACUACUAGCUAUUGACUGAUAUUAAAAGCUUUUUUUGUGGAUACACCACAAAAAAAGAUGCUUCUUUAAUGGAAUCCUGCCUACCCCACCUUUGAUGAACUAUUAAAAUUGUUGCUUACAUCACUGGUACACAAGAGCAUUAAGCCUUUUGUGCCUGGAGUUAGUGAAUAAGACCUGACUGAGAAGAUAUGGUAUAAAAGCCUGCCUCAUAUAAAGGCCUGGUACCUUUGGCAGUAAAAACAAAAGACCUGGCCCAUAUUUAAAGAGUUACAGUAAUUGUGUAGAAGUGGGGUUAAUGCAAGCAUCUUAUAAACUUGGAAAUAUCAGUGAACCAUCUGCUGUCACCCUUCAAAGCCAGGCUCUUCUGAAUGAGUGUGUGUGUAGUUCCUAUGGCUUUUGCAGACAGCCUCAAAUGAACACAAGAAGAACUGCAGUUUUUAGCACAUCCUUGUUGGUUUUAUAUUUGUAAGGAUGCCUAGCCCAUGUUCACACUUUAAAAAAAUGGAAGGUCCACACAAAUGAUCAUUUUGACAAGCUUUACUGGUUGCAGCUCUCGGUUUCAGCUUCACCAUGCCACAAGUGUAACACAAGUGUCACAAAGUGUAACAAUAGUGUACCACAAGUGUAACAAAGAUUGGUCUGAGACCAUUCAGGUUUAUGUAGUCGUCCACGUUUCCAAACAUUCUGCUUGCAUCUUGUUGACCUAAAAGAGAGUCCAUGUAGGGUAAUAACAAAGCAUAACAUAUUUUUGGAGCCUGAGUGAUGUUAAACAUGGGUACAAGGUCCUUGUUGAGGAUAGUUGUCGAAGGCCCAUGGCUCCAGAAAUCUAGCACCAAAGUAUCCAAGGUAUUUAUGUGACACAGCACCAGCACCCUAAAGGUUGACAUGACUGGCUAAAGAAAAUCCCCCAAAAUAUAUUUCAACACUGGGGGCUGCUGCUUGGGUUAAAUAAACUUUUAAUGGAAAAUGCUGCUUAAACUGUGCUUAUUCUCUGUGAAAAAUUUGGUUGUUACAGUUUUUUUAAAUACAGACAAGAAGCAGAAAGGUGAGAGGCAGAAAAAAAUACAAUAUAGAACUGUAAAUAUGUUAAAAUAAAGAUAUUCUUAGAGAUUAAAAUCCUAAGAAGUUGGUUGUUUUGCUGCUUAAGUAAAAGUGACAAAAUGGUUUAUGUUUUCCUUCUGGUAGUCUAACAAAAAACAGCUCAGACUUCUUGUUAUAUCUUUUUGUACAGUCAGAGCGUUUCCCAUUUCAAAAGUCUUUCUGUGUUUUUGUCAGCACUCAGGCUUAAUGCCGCCACUCAGUUCGUGCAGUCUGCCAGUCAGUGCGUGUAACACUGAUGACUUGUGCCGACAAUGGUAUCACUUGCACAACCUCUGGAAAAUAUUGUGGAGAUUUUGAAGCUUCAAUUUGACAAACAGCAGUAAAACAGAAACAUUUCUUGCAUUGAUCAUACGAGAUGCUUCACCAAACAUUAGACUUGGUGGUUAAAACUCUGUACUAUGCCUGUUAAUAUGAUGCACCCAGGAUUACUCAGACUCAUUAAUCCUAUUCCUCAUGCUGUCUCUGCCAAUUUGACUUCUUUGAUAAACAGGCGUUUUAUCUUUUACUAUUCAGCGUGACGCAAACACUGCUCUACGACGACUUUCUGAUGUGGAGAUGGUGAAGUUUUGGCCUAAAAAGGAGGGCAAGAAUAAAAAGCUAAUUAAAUGAAGAAUCUCCCAAUCUUAUAGAGGAUAUAGAUAAGAAACUCUGAGAGUUCACACUGAGCUCCGUCCAGAUAACAGAAUGAUUUCCUGUAGAGUCUUGCCAUGUUUCAAACUGUUGUUUCAUAUCUUCCAUCUGAUUGGCUUGACCAGUUCAGUCCAUUGAAAAGUUAAAUGAUUGCCCAGACUAUUGAAUUAUAGCUCUUGAAGAGAUGACAGAUUCACAAUAAUGGAUGUCUACCCCCGAAAUGUAAGUGCAGUCUAUAGGAAUCUGGCAGGAAACCACCAAAACCAAGUCUGUGUGUAAUGGCCCAGCUAGUGUCCAAAUCCAGAUCUAAAAGAAAAAACAGCAUUAAUAGAAAUGGAUGGUGUGCGACCUGUGACCAAACAAGGGCAGAGUAAAUGGGAAUCUUUGAGAAAUCGAUGAAUCGGGACCCAAACUGCAGCACUUACAAGAACUAUUCAAGUUCAGUUCCCCGUCCCAGUUUUCAAACAUCAUUCAGCUCAAAACUUUGGACACGUCUUGUGAGAACCAUCCAGUAAGAACGAUCCAUUUACAGUCCGAAACAGAACCGGGCAUGUUUAUCGUUGUGCUGCAUCACCUCUUCUUUUAACAUCACUCUGUAAAAGUUUGGGAACUGGGGAGGCCAGAGCAAUGUUUGCCUGAUAAAGGAUUUCAGCUGCUCAGUUUUGUCAUAUUUUUGUUGUUUUAUGAUGCAACAAAUAUUUCAGUGAGUCUGGGCUGCAAGAGGGGUAUUUUAACACCAGAACCCUUCUACUUAGGAGUCACACUGUUGUAAGAUUGUGCAGAUUGCAGUUUGUCACUGUCUUACUAAACUUUACAGUCUUUCCUGGAAAAUGCAUCAAAUGUUCUGCUAUAAUAUCUGAGUUUAAUGUGCAGCAUUAAUGGACUGUGUGCUGAUAACAAGCCAGGUAGUCCCUCCCAAAAUCAAAAUCAAAUUUUGAUUCAUUGGAUUUCAGGACCUUUCUCAGAUUGACCUUAGUCCAGAGACGCUCCAACAUUUAUUAAUCAUGUAAAUACAUGUUUUCUUGAGACCAUUCAGUGAUUUCCGCUGCAGAGUUAUGUCUGCUUUUAAAGAAGGCAUUAAAAUCAUAGCUAUACAGUCCUGACUUUGGGCCUGGUCUCUUUUAUGCAGGGAUUUCCCCAACUUUCUCAAUCUUCUAAUACUUUCCUUACUCUUGACUAUAAUAUCCUCAUCUUUUUCACAACUUCAGGCUGGAGAACAGAAGACUGAAACUCAUACAGUUUAUCAGAGAACAGUGAAUCACUUCCUGUCUUUACUUCUGGGAGACUCAGCCUCCCUUGAUUAGCCUUUUUUGGUACCCAGUUACAGUAUGUUCCUAACCAGUUGCAAUACAACCUGAGAAAUGUUCCUCCAGGAUUUUUAUUUUUUUAUGACAUCACACAACUUAACACAGCCACACACUGUAAGAUAUUGAUGUUAAGAUGAUCAGCUGAAAGACAAAAACAGGGAAAUAUAUUAAGAUUUCACUUUCCACGAAAAAAAAAAUAUAUAUAUAUAUAAAUGAGCGUUUCUUUUUCUUUUUAAAUCUUUUAUAAGGCAGCAGCAGAAAAAUAAGCCUAAAAUCAAAUUCCUUGACAGCUACAGUACAUACAGUAUGUCUCAUGUUUGCCUGUUUCCUCCCUGUUUGUUUUACACACCUUUAUAAAUUGAGAAAAGAUUGUGUAACGCCGGCAUUGUUAUGGUAGUCAAGGACAACAUGCUGCAUUAAUUCACAGACCCAGCAUGUUUGAAGUACCUGCAUCUUUAAUUCACUGCACACGGCCAGUGUCAUACCUGUAACAGAACCACGGAGCAUGCUGAGAACCUGGCUGUUGUACCAGUGUUAUGAUAAGUCACAAAGGAUGCCAAUUACUCUGUUGCUGCUUCUGUUGGAUCUACAAUAACUGCCCUCAUUUAACAGUGCUGUAUUAAAUUGCACACUCACACAAGCCCCUCAAGGCUGGCUAUUAUGUCAAAGAUAAUGUAAGGUGGAUCGUACCAGACAGGUCCUGACAGGAUGUUAUUCAGCUGUAGAGACCUUUUCCCUGAUCAGACUUUGAUAGUUAGGCUCGGGCUGCUCUCAUUACUGUGCUCACUUAUGUGCUUACUAAAUCAAUCAAUGGAUCAAUCAAUCAAUCAAUCUUUAUUCAUACAGUAUAGCCCCAAUUCACAAUUGCUUCACGAAAAAACUUGGUCUAGACCACACUGUACCUACAAAGACCCCACCUAUGGAUGGGAUAAGGCUGAGCCAUCCCAUCCCAAACUAUUUAGAAAGUUACAGUGGAGAGGAAGAACUUCCUUUAACAGGCAGAAACUUUGAGCAGAACCAGACUCAUGUUAGACAGUAAUCUGCCAAGACUGAUCAAGAUAGCUUGUUAUUUCUUAGAUUUUAUUUAUUCAAGUUCAUUAAACCAAAACACUGAUGGUGAAUUUAAAGACCCCUUCCUUGGCAGUAGACCAGUGGAGUCUCUUUGAUGAACCUAGCUUGUAGCAGAAGUCUUUCGUAUUGACUGAUCUCCUUUCAGUAGAUGGUUAUGACUGGCGGCGGCCCACCAGAGUCUUUGCAUUUUUGGCAAUGGUCUCUGACAGCUGUUUGCUAUUUAGACAAAUCAGAUUGUAAUUGAGCAAUCAGGGCGGAUUAAUCAACAAUGUGGAGUGAUAAAGAGUGGUUUAAUCCAUCAUGAUGAAGAUCGUGAUUGAAGGCCGGCAGUGCACUUGUCUUUUUGGCGGAUUGAGUUUUCAAUCAGUCUUGGAACUUUUGCUUAAAGCUCGAGUGAGGAACUUUUACUUUGUGUGAACUUUGUCUCACCAGAAUCCCAUCCUUCUGUGGAAAUAAUCAUUUGAGAUAUCUAUUUGUAGAGAUAAAUUUAAGCUAAACUGUUGUCAUGAUAGCCAGGAUUGUUUUACAGUUGAUGCAUGUUUUUGCUUUCCUCAUAAAUCCUGAAACAAUACGACUUCCACAUCCGAGGCGUCAUGGCCAACCAAGUCUCUAUUCAUGGAGUUCACUGAGGUUAGCCAACUUCUUGGAUCACACAAAAAUGCUAUGAUGAUGUGUUGUUGGUUCCCCUCUAAGGUCAAGAGCUCGGUCUGAUUGGCAGUUGUACUUCUGCAGGCUUAAAACUGAGCAGAAAGUGCUGCUUCACAUUAUUUUUAAAUAGCUUCCUGGAACUGGAAGAAUGCUUGAUAGCCCUUAAAAAAAGCUGCUUUUAGUAUCAGCUCUGCACAUAAAUCUGAAUUACAGUUUGUCACAGGGAAAUGCAUGCGAUGCCAGAGACACCUUAGUAAGUAUUAUUUACGUUAUAGUGCCUUGUUAGACUUGUGGAUGAAAACAUAGAGGCAUUAAUGGAGUAGGAGGUGAACUGAGACUGGGGCUGGACUGGACUGUUGUGAACCGUCAGCAUUUGUAUUGCUUAGAGGGAAAAUGCCAGUGGGGAGGAAAAAAAGCAAAUAUGGCUGAAAAAUAUAAGACAUUGUUUAUUGAAUGACUUCUUUUCUUCGUUUCCACCCUGCCUUACAAACCCAGGCGUGCACAGGAGGAGAACUGUGGGUUUUAUUUUUGAGAUGCUUUCCCAAGGGAGGUAGAGGAGGCAGCUGAGAGGACUGAGGGAAAAUGAAAAAUGCUAACUUCUAUGAGCUUUAUGAGAUUUUUUUUCCACUCCAGUCAAAAAAUAAAUAAAUGAAUAAUGGGAGCUUGAGAGUCCUUGUGAGUUAAGGUUUGGAGAAAAGAUAACAAAGGUCAGGGCCAAACUACCUCUUCUGGUUAUUUGAGUUAUCAUCUUCAAUGUACUCUGAAUUUUCUUCUAUUUUUGAAUAUGAUACAUGCAUCAACAAUAAAACCUUUAAAGCUGAAUUGCUGUGGCCUUCUUGCUCAGGGUAGUAUUGUGUUCAGCCCAGGACACAAAUGCAGGGCCGCCCUGUGCUUCUGUUGGGCCCUGGAUAAAAUUGUAAAGAACACAUAUAAAGUUUGUGGAGGUGGUUGAGGAGAGAGCUCAGCUUGCCAGCCUUGAUGACCUCUGGAGGGUUGCCAUCGCUUCCUGGAGCUUUACCACAGGCUAGGGUGUCGAUGGCCUUCCUGAGCUCAUCUAUAGAGGGUGGAAAGUCAAGCUCUUCCAUGACAGGCAAGGAGACAAGACUUUCCUGAGACUAAACUCCAAAUAACUAUUGUGGUAUUAUCCAUCUGACACCUUAUCUGACUCCUCUCUAUAUGAAGUAGCAACAGCUCUACUCUGAGCCCCUCCUGGAUGACCGAACUUCUCACUCUAUCUCUGAGGGGGAGCCAGGCAACCCUGUGAAGGCAACUCAUUUCAGUGGCUUGUACCAUGAUUUUGUGCUUUUGGUCACUACUACAGCUCAUGACCAUAGUUAAGGGUAGGGACCUAGACAGACCGGUAAGAAAAUUCUUCUGAAUAACAUUGUAAUUUUUAACAAAAGUUACAAUGUUAUUCAGAUGAAUUUUCUUACCGAAGCGAUGUACAUAUGAAUCACACACACCAGUGGAGGACACAUACUGGGGGCAAGGAGAGUUAAGUUUCUUGCCCAAGGACACAACAGACAGACUAGAGAUAGUGGGGAAUUGAACCACCAACCUCCCAGUUAUUGUACGACCGCUUAACCUCCUAAGCUUCUGGAGUGAAGUGAAGAAUACUUGGGUUAACUGUGACGAGAUGCGAAAACUGGACAAAGGGAAUUAUCAAAAAUACUUCAUAUCAUGAGUUUAGUUGUGAAUGGAUGUUUGUCAUUAACCUCUCAUCAGAAACUAGGGAGGCAUCAAGAGGAGCAGAGAAUCUUUUAGUAACAUUACCUGUUUUGGCAAACUGCUUUUUGUUGUUGUUGUUGUCCUCCUUUGCGGGAUUGUAAGAUAUUGGCAGUGGAGGACAUUUACGCCCUUAGUUUGCCUUAAAAACACACAUCUUGUCACAGUCAAACAGUCCCACAUUAUCUCUUACUGUCAUUAUGAAUAAACCCACAUCAACUUGAUGGUCAAUGAUCCAGUCAAGCCACACUCAUGAGAAACACCAUACUGUAUACACCGAAAGGGUCUACAGAUAAUUUUCCAACAUAUCCCCCUCCAAGGUUUACGUUUUUAUUACUUUCCAUUUUUUUAAAAACAAUUGUUUUGACUUUUUGUUUUCAAUUUAAGUAAUGCUAAAUAUUUAGUUUUAGUCAGAUUUUUUAAGUUUUAAUGCUAGUUUUAGUUUGUAAUACAGAAUAUCUAUAGGGGAUAAGACUCAAAAAGACCUCAAAAUAUAUUGUGUAUAAAAAAAAUUCAAUACAUGAUACUAUUCAAAAGUUUUUGUAUUCUAAAAGUCUGACGAAUGCAAUAACUCUGUUUUUCUGAGUGUGUGGGUUGGGCCGUCAGGGUCAAGGACAUCUCUGUGUUUUUAUUCUGGAUAGUUUUGUAAACAUAUAUUACAGUUUGAGCUUGGAUACUCUUGAAUUCUGCACCACAGGUGGGUCCUUCACUCUUUCAGGGUCCAAGGCGGUGAGCUGUACGACCUCAUAAACAGGCUGGCUAAGCUCACAUGUAUCGUUUAGCAUCUCAUUCCCCUCUGAUAUGCCAUCUUGCAAGAACCAUAAGAUUCAUGAACUGACUAAAACAAAGAUCUGAGUGUCUACCUCUGGAGGUCUUUGGUGGGUUUUUCUCUGAUUUCCAUCUCGGUGUCAAAAACUCUUUGCUUAAUUGUUUUGAUCAAAGAAGUUUCUAAUUGAAUGUACAGAAAAUUCCAUCUGAAAAAGGCAUUUUGAUUAUCCUGCAGUGGCCUGUAUAAUUCAAGGUCUUCAAAACCUAAAUGGAUUUUCUGACCGGCUCCUCCAACCUGUUUUAUUCAGAGUAUCUCAAGAGAGAAAUGGAAAAAAUAAUUGAGAAGAGAAGAAAACAGUGAAGUUGAGCUCACUGAUUAAUUCUCCCCUGCUGUGAGUCUGUCUGUACGCCACAGUGUGCUCUGAAAUACAGCUCAAACUAUACAUCCCAGUUUAUCGUGAGACUUCUUUAUAAGGAAGUGAAACCUUCAAGUUAGAGAGAAAAAUGACAUGUUUUUCUUGGAUGUUUGUGGCUCAUUACACUUAAGCCUGGGGACAGUAAUCUAUGAGAUUACAAAUAAGUGGGCUCUACUGCUGGAAGGCAGGAUCUGUGCAUUUUUGCGUGGGGAGAGGGAAUUUGGCAGGCUGCUGUCAAGCCAGUGGAUCAAAGUCCUUUUCCCACUGCAGUGGCUCAUCACAACAACAGAGAGAGGGAGAGAGAAAGAGAGAGAGGGAGAGAGAGAGAUCUUGGAGGAAGAAAGCUUACGCCACUCAUGGUUGGCUUAGUGUGCACACUUGCUUCACAUUUUAGAUCCAAGCCCAUACUGAGCAGAGCUCAAUAAAGCACUCAAGUCAGCAGGGGAGACUAGAUGUGCUGUCAGUGUCGGUACAUCCAAAUGGCUUGUGACAGUGACACACCAGUGAGUACAGAAGCAGUGCCUUCAUGCUAAAUAUGAAAAGGAUGUCAACAUUUGGAAAGAUGGCGGCUCCAAAAAUCUGAACCCAGGUUGAAAGAUUUAUUGCAUGAAGGAAAUCUUGAUAGACUACACUGUUGCUAGGAUUCUCCUACUUUUAUAUUUAAUCCCAUUCAUUAUUCAGCAGUUAACUAAGACAUUAACCUUGGUAACAGUAAGUCCCAAUCUAAAACAAAGGUCAUGUGUGGUGUGAGAGAGGCCAGUGAAGGGUUCCCUCUAUCUGCUGCAACCCACACCAUUAAAACAAUCACACUCAAAUCACUGAGCUUGUUAACAAUAAGACCACAAACUGCACCACAUCCUCAUAAAAUCCUCCUUUCACCUGUUGGCGGGCCUGGACCCAUGUGCCUUGCAGUCUUCCAUCCAGACCAGAAGACGUAGACCCGUCCUUCAUCAGAGAAACAAGCAUUUUGCUUUCCUGUAAAAUAGAAGUCCUAGCUGCCCAUUCUUGAUGUUCAGCUAAAUGCUUUCUUUGUCUCAUUGAUUAGCCUCUUUUGUUGUCUGACUAGUCAGCAGGCUGCUUAAGGGAACAGCCGUUCAAUCUCUGUCCGAGGUCUUUGUCGUCCUGAGCAGAACCGGACCUCAGCUCACCUGUAGAUUAGCAGAAAAGUCAGGUUGGGUUCCAUUUCAGUUUUAAUAUUCUAGUAAUUAUUCUAAUCUACAGUACAUUUGGAGAGGAACAAAACAAAUACCUGGUUCUCACCAACAGGGUUAGCUGUUGCAAAGACUGAAUUAUAUAUAAUAGGAUACCAACUCUGUGGCCGCAGCAGCAACCAGCUCCGUGCGAAGGAUUCACAAAGUGCUGCAUAAAAGGGUCUAGAGCACCUGGCUGCAGACUCAGUGGAUUAAAACAAACACUCUUACAGUGGGUAGUGAUUUAAUCACAUAUGAUUGUCUGCUUUGAAUGCAUGGUUACGACAUUAAUAGGGAAAAUGACAUCUGAGACAUCCGAGCGGGGGUCUAUCUUUUCACUGCCUUUCUGCUUUUGGAGGUCUGUGUUUGAAGCCAGGUCCUCCUCAGUUUUAUUAGCUAGCUUGUGGUAAGCUGUUGUGAUUGAACCCCUCUGUACAGUGUAGAUGUUCAUGUUGUUGCUAUUCAGUGUAUAGCCCUGUAUAGUGAUUUCAGUUUGUGUAAACUAAUUGUGCCAAAAAUGGGUCACCAAACGUGUCUUUCUCUCUUGAAAUCAUGCCAAAUAAAAGCCUUAACGUCUGGAGUAAGUUAAGUAUCUGUUAUUGUUUUCUCAGUCUCUGCGCAUUUCUGUGUAGCAUGGAGGGGGGGCUUUAUUUGUAACUGUUUUUUUUUUCUUUCUUUCUUUUUUUUUAUGUUUCUAUUUUUCUCUGUGUGUAAAGCACUUUGUGUUGCAUGUUCAUGAAUGAAAAGUGCUCUACAAAAAUUUUUUGUUCGAUUUGAUUUGAUUUGAUCACCCAGAAGGCAGAGAACUGAUCAUGUUUUUUGGUAAAACCUGCAAAUUAAGUUCACUGUAGUACAACAUGACAUACCUAUUUAAGCUUUCCACCCUGAGUGUGAGUCCAGAGGGAGUAACCCGACAUGUGAAUAAGGUGAAUUAUGGGUAAAAGGUUGCUGUGUGUAGGUUAGAGUGAAGAAUGACUUCUAUAAGCAGUGGUAUAGAUAAAUAACAUACUCUCAGCCCACUGUGUCACGUUGCUCAUCCUAUAUGACUCACAUUUACUCUUGGCUCUGCAGCACCCUCUCUGCCUCCUUUUUUUUCUCCCCUUGUUAAACCAAGAAGUGCACAUAAGCAUGGAAUCUUCUGUAUGGCUGUGGGCAUUUUUCCACUGACUUGAUAUCUGCGGACAUUAGCCGAGGAAGGAAAACAGAUUUGUGCAGACAAAAAGAGAGCUGCAAUUAAAACAGGCUCUGGGAUUACUACCGCUGCAAUCGAGGUGCCCUUGAGCAAAUUCCUUCCUCCCUGAUUGGUCCAUUGGAGUUGAACAGCGGUCAGCCACAAUUCUUUGCAAAUAGCAGUGUGAUGUGUGCUGACACUGAUUAUUCAGUUUCAACUCCGAAUCAGAAGGAAGUGAGAUCAGCAGGAUGAAUGUAGAAGGAUCAGUUUAUACCCUAUUUUUGGAGAACAGAUGAUACAUGUUUAAACACUCUUUUCAAACACCGAUAUUUAGACAUUCAGUCAAGAGUUAAGUGCUAGCUUUUCUGCAGAGUCUGUCACCACAAGGGAGAUCUCUUUCUCCCUCAUUCUCCUUGUCUCUCUCUCUCUCUGCAUUCAUUAUUAAUCAGCAAAUGUUCUUUUUGGUUUCAUAAUCACUUUGAUAAUCAAGGUUGCUGAUGGGAGAGCACACAUUCAAAAUUGAUAGUUUGAGCAUGGCCUACUCUAGGGACAAAAGUGUUAAUUAAUUAGGCAGUAAGGUGAAAGGGAAGUGCCCGGGCUGUGCUCAGAAUUCCAGAGCACACCUGGGAAUUUACCGCAAGACCCCCCUUGGAAGCAUCAGUCAUGAUGCAUAAUCAGCGCGCACCAAGAGAGUGAUUCAAGUCUUCUUUCAUUCCUUUUAUUACUAACAUGGGUGACGUGGUUCAAAAUGUGAACAAACAGAGACCAAAGAUAAACUUACAAACAACAGAAACUCUGCUUUAACAAAGAUAUAAAUAAACAGGUUUUAACUGAGUCUGACAGCGUUAAAAAGUGUAGUCUGAGUUUGUUCUUUGCUGAAUUAUCUCUUUAUUUUGGCAGCUUUUCCUGCAUUUACACAUCCUUUAUGCAGUCAAGAAACAGACGCCCACUAACAUAACAACCCACAAGCAGCAUGACAUUACAGCAGUAUCCAAAUAUGGUAAAGGUUGCAGCUGUGGUCUGUACUGGGAGAACAAAGAGAGCUUAGUUCAUCAUCAGGUUCCUGCUUAUCAGUUCAAUGUCACACUGUUGGGGAAACAACAAACUGUCAAACAACCUGUGAGUGAAAUUGUAGCAUUCAUCUCGUUGUAUGGCUUUAGUGGAAAAGUAUGAGUCACAACUCCAAGGCUGUAUUUCUCUUUUCCCAUGCUCAUUAAAAAGAAUAUAGAUAUAACCCUGCAAACAUUUACUCCAAGUGAUUUUCAGUAAAUGAUUAACAAACAUAUAUACUGAUAAAAUACACGUGAUAGCAUACACAGACAAUUUUUCUUUCACUUAUUUAAUCAAUUACAAAUCUGUAUCAAGGUUGCACCAAGAUGUAUGUACCAAGGUAAGGAAGGCUAACCACGGCACAGAGACAGCUCUGCGUAAAGUAAUGAAUGAUUUGCCUGAUGGAUUAAGAUUGUGAGAAAUCUUUGACUUAAGUUCUUUUAGACUCUUUUAGACUUUGGACUGCAUUUAAUUCUGUUGACCAUUUGAUUUUUCUUCAGCUUCUUAAACUCUGGAUUGGUGUCUCUGGAUCAGCUUUUUAGUGGUUUUGUUCUUAUUUAACUGGAAGGUCUUUUAAUGUUGCAUUGAUAACUCACAGUCAUCUAGUGCUAAUUUGUCUCGUGGGGUCUCACAGGGGUCAGUUCUGGGACCACUUUCACUUUUAUGCUUAAGGCACCCAGCCUUACCUCUCUGCCCACACUGCACACACCCACAUCACUGAAAACAUCUGCAGCCUCUCUCAGCAAACAUUUGUAACAGCUGCAAAAAUCCAGGAGCUUGGAGAAGCAUGUCAAUUCAUCGGUUCAAUCAGGUUUUUUUCAGCAUAGAAGACUUUCCAAAAUCAGUCGCUUGCUUCCCAGAAAAAUAACCUUGAGACAGUUGUACAUGCCUUCAUCUCCUCCCACCUAGACUAUUGUAAUUCCCUGUAUUCUUGUCUAUCAGAAUAAACUACUACUAAUCCAGAAUGUGUCAGCCAGACUCCUAGCCAAAAUAAAACAGAGAGAGCAGAUCACCUCCAUUUGAGCCUCAUUCCACUGGCUUCUAGUUGAGUUUAAAGUUGAUUUUAAGGUUUUAAUGGUAACUUUUAAAGCUCUGUCAGGACUUGCCCUAAAGUACAUUGCUGAUCUUUUCACACCGUACAAGCCCAGUUGUACCUUGAAGUCCUCAGCCAAGGGUUUGCUUGGCUGAUUUAAGUUUCUUCUUAUACUUCUCAAAGUUAGAAGCUUUAAAUACGUGAAGUAAAAUGAUGCUGCAAUUGCCAAAAUAUGCACUCACAUAUUUGAUGACACUGGUGUCCAAAAUUUACAAUUUUUAACAUCUAGACUUCAAUUUAGCUUGAUACACUUUUUCUGCUUGGCCUGAUAAAGUCAUGCUUCAAGGUAAUACUCGGCUCUGAUCCAUGACAUUUCCAUUUCCAUUAGAUAUUACAUUCAACAAUAUUACAUAUUGUACCAAAAACACAAACCAUGAUAAUUUCCUCAUGUCAGUUUCCUGCAGAAAUGUUAUCCAGCUGCAAACUUCCAUGUGUCUCAGAAUACCUUGUUCAAAGUCAAACCUAACGUAUCCUUACUGACAUUUAUUUGGCUGCUUUCUUUUCCAAUUCCAUCCUGACUUUUCCCACAUUUUUAUUUUCAUUUUCAUGAUGACUGACAAACGGAAAUUGCCAUCUGUAGAUGUCAAAUAAUAAAGGAUACACAGUCUCCUGUUUUAUUCAGGAGUUGUCACCUUCGUGUGAGUCUCAGUGAACUGCAGCCGAACAGUGAUAUUGAAUGGUGAGGAGACGUAAACAGAAGGCUUUCAAAAACGCUCAAGGAAAACAGGCAGCUAUUUUCUGGAGUCUACUCUCACUCUUUGAAAACAACAGAGAACAAACAUUGACAGAAAAGGACUUAUUUUACUGAGAAAAACACACCACUCUUUUUAACAGUGAGAACCAGCAGAUUGUGUUUGAGCUGCAGGAUGGAGACCUGAAAACACUGAAAAAAUAUGAACAUGAAUUUUCUCAGUUCUUAAAUUUUUGUUUUUAUUAUUAAAACGACUUUCUGGUUUGUUCCUUAUCUCACAAUGUAUGUUAUAAUAUCUAUUUUGUUGUUAUAAUUUAACUAAUUUUUUCAUCUUUGAUCUCCAGUGUGUAUGUGGUUUCCACGCCUCUGCAGCCUGCCUCAAGUGGACACUCAGGGAACUGCAGUUUUAAGCACUUUCACUUUAGCUUGACAAAUACACUGAGGGCGAUUUCAGCCUGAUCGCAUAUUUGCUGUUGCUCAUCUACACAGCUGGUGACCUUAUAAUUAGUUCCUUGGCCCCAUUCUUGACACAGUGAAGUACCAUAGGGCAAGGUAUUAAACCCCAAAACAGCUGAUUGCUGGUGGCGCAAAUAGAAUGCUGGGCAUUUCCCAUCGAAGCGUUAACUUUUCAUCCAGCUGCUACUGUAGAUUGUGGUUUUCAAGUCUGCCAGUUGUCAAAAUGCAUUUUUUACAAGGCCUGAGGUCUUCACACUGUUGGUAGGAUAUAAAAAAAUAAAAAUCAAAUACCCAUGCCAACUUUUAUUCCCUACCUGUAAGAACUGAAACUUGGUCAAGUCAUAAAAAUGUUUGACUUUGUUAGUCAGAGAGAAGCUGCUUCCCACACUUCUCAUUAAAAGCCCACUCAGACUGUUACCUCUGCAAGACCAUAACAGCAUCAUUGUACUUGGGGCGAUGUGCAGCGUUUUAAUGUAAAAUGCAGUUCACGCUGAAAAACUCCAAAAAGAAACUCUUCUUUUGUAGGAGCACCCUUUUUUUAUCGAACUACCCCAAGGAAUAAAAGGAAAGAAGUAAAGGACAUACAUAAGUUUGAAGAGGAGUUUAUUCUACACUGAAAAAGUCCAUCUCUAUAUGUUUAACUCCUCUAACUGUGUACCUGCUGUUCAGGUGUCAAGGUGUAAAUUACAUCCGUUUUUUCGAGGUGGGUGUUUGGCCCAAAAGGCGACAGUUGGAGUCACAACGAUGAUGUGGCGAGGACAGCAGGGGUAAACUGUUAAAAAUCAGCAAGCGGUCAUAACACACACAGCACACACAGCCACUCCGAGGCAAGAUGAUGUAUUUCAUGAACAGUGGGAGAGAAGCCUGUGGGCCCAAACCGAUAAAGAAAAGCGUGAGAUUGCACCAAAUGUGUGAUCGAUGUAAGAGAAGCCAAUUUCAAGGGUGGGAAAAUAUUCUGCAUGCAGCUAUUUCUUAAAAUGAAGAGCUGUGAACAUGUCAGGAUACAGGAAAACAUUUCUACGAGGAAAGUAAAUGUGAGGGCUCGGGAUGUGGAAAUAAUGCUUAAAAGAAACACCAGUUCCAGGGAGGUAUACUUAGACCUUUAUACCUACAAAAUAUGACUUCCUGCUCAAACCCAAACUUUCAUAGAGCCUGCAAGCCAAAGUUCAGGACUAACAGUGGACCCAUGGCACGAAGGACUCCAGGGAGAUCCCCUUGUCUACUCAAUGUUGAAAUUUAAAAGGAACUAUUGAUAAUGGGCUGUAUUGAACAGUUCAAUAAAUGGUGUCAUGAGCUCUCCUAUUGCUUUAUGGAAGCCCAGAGUUGAACUUAUUGAUCAUCAUCAUUUUGGCUUUCUUGAACCCUAAGCAAUCAUAUUUGGAUGAUACGGUUAGACACACUUUUGCAAUAUUGUCCAAAUAAAAAAUGGCUGUAUCCUUUGGUUUUAAAAGUGACCAGCUGGGGGGCAUCUUCACUGAUCGGGAAAUGAUACCGAAUAAGAAAAGACUCUACCUGUCAGCCUCAGAAAAUACAAUGAGCCUGAUCAUUCACCCAGUGCACAACAUCUUAGCAUACAGCACAAAUGCCAACUCAGAGAUAGAGCAAGAAUUCCUCCUUGUCUCUUUACAUCAGGAAAUUGUUUCCAGUAUAGGGGUUAAUAUUUGCAGCCGGAGGACAAAGAUAGAGUCUCCACUAUCUCCCCACUCAGCUCACCCUGUAUGUGUGAGCUCAGAACUCCAGCCUGAGAUGUCACUGAGAUCACCAUUAUACACACUUUGUUUGACAUGCAGUCUCCUGAAUACAUACAGAAAUAGAUGCCCCAUCACUAAAACACACAACUGAGGUUUCUAUAUACAAUCAUCUAUCAUGACUUAAUGAGUGUGUAACCCAUGUUAAAAUAUGACAUAAAUAAGAAUAAAUAGUUGAUUAAAAGCUGCAUAAAUAAGUUUGAAACUUAAAAGAAAAAACAUCAACCAAAAUGUUAAUUCAACAAUCAUUUAAUGUUUAAGAUUAAAAGUCUGCUGACAGAAAAUGACGUUGCUGCCCCUUUAAGGGACCAGCGACACAGACGCAGCACCUCAGUGACGCUGCAGCAGAGACCUGAGGGAGAGAGCAGAGGAGAAACCGGAGAAGACGAGCGGUGAUUAAUUAACAGAAAAAGCUGUGAAAAAGUCGAUAAAACAGUUGAAAACCAUAACUUACCUGGUCGGGAACUGACGGGGAUUUUAUGAGAACUAAGCCACACUGGGUUUGGUCAGGUUUUUUUGCACGCUUGGAAGCUCGGUCGGAGCGAGGAUUGGUCUGCCAUGUGCAGGCAUGCACAUUCACAGACGGGAUUCAAGAUGGCGAGCCAGACCCAGACCUUCAACUCAGCUUCUCCAUCGCAUUGUGAGGGAAUCUCCUGCGUGUGGUAACUCCUUGCCACAGUGGUAGGAGUAUCAGGAAGUAGUUUGAACUGAACUGAACAUAACUGAUUGAAUUAUUAUUUGAGGCUUGAGGCCACCAUCAGAUUCCCAGAGAGCUUGCUUGGAGCCGACAUCGAGGUACCUACACUGGUCUUGGUUGUACCCGACAUGCGCUCCACCUCGUCAUCGGUGCUUAAAGGCACAAACAAUACUUUGGAUGUUCUUUACGAGAAAUAUGCAGAGAUCGCACCUCAGAACUAUGAGUCUCUUCCUUAUGGCUACAAAGUCGUCCUAAAGUCCCUUGAAAUCCAAAAAAGACAGUCUGUUGAUUCCAGCCUGGGAGAGGUAAGGCUUCAUAGUAGAGACUUUGAAACCAUUGCAGCUGGACAGACCAAAGUCCUUGAAGGAUCAGUGAGCUGCAGGACACCUGAUGCUGGAAAGUGGGUGAUAGUAGAGUCACCAAUGUCAUCGACCCUGCCUGGUGGCAUCCUGAUGACAGAUAGCCUGAUAAGUCUACCACCAAAGCUACCACGCUGCAUACCAGUCACACUCAAGAACGAGUCACACCAUGACAUCACCCUGUCUCCAAAGGCUGUCAUAGCAGAGGUACAUGCUGUCAAGAGUGUCCAAUCUCUCAAGACCCUUGACUCAGACUCCCCCACAAAACCUGACCAAAAAACAAAUCUCAACUUUGACUUCACUGACUCUCCUGUACCCAAUGAGUGGAAAGAGAGGAUAACAGAAAAAUCGAGUUCCAUGCCGGAGGUGUUUGCACUGCACGAGCUAGACUUUGGCCGCACUGACAAAAUCAAACACCACAUAACUCUCAGUGACGAGAUGCCAUUCAAACAUAGGCCAAGACCUAUACACCCCCAGGACAUAGAGGCUGUGCGUACCCAUCUCCAGCAACUCCUAGAUGCAGAAGUCAUCCAUGAAUCGGAGUCACCUUUCUCCUCGCCGAUCGUAGUCGUCAGGAAAAAUAAUGGCGACGUCAGGCUCUGUAUAGACUACAGAAAAUUGAACACACAAACAGUAAAGGAUUCAUAUGCUUUACCUAAUCUGGAAGAGUCCUUCUUGGCAUUGACUGGGUCCAGGUGGUUCUCGGUGCUCAAUCUCAAAUCAGGCUUCUAUCAAAUAGAGAUGGAGGAAGCAGACAAGACUGCAUUCGUCUGCCCACUAGGAUUCUUCGAGUUCAACAGGAUGCCUCAGGGGAUGACCAAUGCCCCUAGCACGUUCCAGAGGCUUAUGGAGCGCUGUAUGGGAGAGUUGAACUUGAAGCAAGCCCUAGUUUUUUCUGGAUGACCUCAUCAUCUUCUCCUUGACACUGGAGGAGCCCGAGGAAAGGUUGAUGCGCGUGCUCAACCAAUUAAAAGAGUUUGGCUUGAAACUGUCGCCAGGGCAAGUUCUUUCAAACCUCUGUAAAGUACCUCAGCCACAUCGUGUCUGAAAAAGGCAUCGAAACUGAUCCUGACAAAGUAGCAGCAUUAAAAAGCUGGCCAAAACCAACCAACUUGAAGGAGCUUGAACCUUCCUUGGUUUCUGCGGUUAUUACCGCCGGUUCGUUAAAGACUUCUCAAAGAUUGUGAAGCCACUCAACGAGCUCACCGCUGGCUACCCGCCACUGAGAAAGCACGCUAAAACCACAGUGAACCUUGAGAAGUACUUCAACCCAAAGGAUUCCUUUGGUGACAGAUGGAUGCCUGCUUGCCAGGCAGCGUUUGACACCAUAAUCGAAAAGUUGACGACCGCACCCAUCCUCUGGUUUGCUGACCCUGAGCUCUCCUACAUUCUACAUACAGAUGCUAGCACCUCGGGCCUCGGUGCUGCCUUCUACCAGGAGCAACAGGGACAGAAGCGUGUCAUUACAUACGCAAGUCGAGGUCUGUCGAAGUGUGGGUCCAGGGGCCUGUUCUACGAAGCAAGUUCAACCUAGCGAGGUAGCCUUGGAGGUACCUCGCUCAACUUAGCGCGGUAGCCAGCGGUCUCGCUAAACAGUCUUACGAUGCUGGUUAACAACCUCAUAAGUUGAUCCAGCUUUGCUAUGAGCGCGUGCACACAUGUAAGGCGGAGCCCGCUGCAUCUGACCAAUCGCGAACAUGGACCAGUGUGGAGCGUCAGAGUAGGCUGGAGAGCGAAGGACUGCGGACUUAGAAACGAGGAGCAGGAGACGAUCAUGAGAAAGUAUGAAGAAUUAAAAUCUAUCAUAAACCUCAAAAGCAACACCGUUGCCGCUGCAAAAGCACGGAAGGAAUGCUGGCGGAAAAUUAACCUUUGAUGCCAUUAUCACCCUGAAAUAGCACUGUUCAACAUGCGCUUUUAACUAUGGUGACCAGACAUCCCUGAUUUCCGGGGACAGUCCCCGAAUUGGAUGAUCUGUCCCCGGCUAAAGCUGUCCCCGAAAAUGUCCCUGAUUUAAGCGUUUCAUGAAUGAGAACAAAAAUGUUGCAUGUGGGCUAGAACAAAGGUUAUUACAGUAGGUAGGAAGCACAAGUAAGCAGUCCUGAACAACAGUAUUUACGGGGGUUAUUACAAGGGGGGUGCGCUGUUACUAAAUGGUACCGAGAUGUUGUCUGUGAUCAUGCAGCCCAUGCCCAUUCAUUUCCAAGAUGAAUUCAUUCAUUUGUUCAUUCCUAUUGUGUUUACAUUUUUUGUGUGAUAUGUCGGCCAUAUGAGCCUUUCAUAAAAGUGGUCAUCCGGAGAAGUAAGUGGGUCCGUGCGGUCCCUGAAAACUCUUGUCGCCGGAGUGCUUCUCGGACAAUGCGAGCAUCGAGGUCUAAAGGAUCCUCCAAGAAUGGACAAGCCAUUUUUCGAGAGAGCUCAUUGGUCAGUGGGCAGGGUUUUUAUACUCGGUGAGUUCAAUCUGGAACUUAACCUGCCCUGGAGCAGGUUAGCCAUUCAGCGUAUGUUGCCAUGGAGACUCGCCUUGCUAAGAAGUGAACCUGCGUCGUAGAACAGGAAACCCCCAACUUACCCUCGAAGUUACCUCGCUAAGCAGUAAUCCUGCUUCGUAGAACAGGCCCCAGGUAUCCUGCGCACAAAUUAGAAUUCCUUGCCCUUAAGUGGGCAGUAACAAAGAAAUUCCAGGAUUACCUGUACGGGAACACAUUCCUUGCAGUCACAGAUAGCAAUCCAUUAACAUACAUUCUUACCUCUGCUAAGCUCAACGCCACGAGCUACAGAUGGUUGGCCGCUCUGUCAACGUUCGAUUUCCAGCUACAGUACAGAGCCGGUAAGCAAAAUCAAGACACAGACGGGCUGUCCAGACGUCCCCACAGCAGAGCACCUGAUGACACAUCAUCACAAAAAGAGCUGGGGCGGAUACAACAAUUCACAAAAAGAUACUUGUCAGAGGCUGAUUAUGCACACCUGAAUGAAAACACCAUCAAAGCCAUCUGUGAGAAGCACUUUGUCCAUGAAGUGACCAACAAUCACUCUGGGGAAACAUUACCCAGCACCACCUUGGUUGUGUCACUUGCCCACCAUCCAAAGGCUCUCCCACAAAGCUUUGAAGAGGAGGAUCAGCUUGGUGGCUUACCUGUCAUCCCCUCAUUUGCACCAGCUGAAAUAAGAGACAAACAAAAUGUUGAUUCAUGCAUCCUUGAAGUACUCAGGCAAGUGGAGUUGGGAGAAAACCCCCACCAUCCUUGAGGAAGGAACUUCCUGAGCUUGGUCUCUUAUUGGGAGAGUGGAACAAACUUGAGGUCUUAAAUGGCAUCUUGUAUCACAGGUGACAAGAGGGCGCUCAGACUCACUACCAGCUUGUGCUCCCUGAAGCCCUGAGAUCCUUAGUCCUUAAGAGCCUCCAUGACAACAUGGGCCACAUGGGCACAGAGCGCACCCUAGAUCUUGUCCGGAAGCGAUUCUAUUGGCCCAAAAUGUCAGCCAAGGUGGAAACUAAGGUCAAAACCUGCAACCGCUGCAUACGCUGUAAGACCAUGCCCAAGAAAGCUGCACCACUCGUCAACAUCGUGGCCACAAGACCACUCGAACUCAUGUGCAUGGAUUUUCUCAGUGUGGAGCCGGACUCAAGUAACACAAAUGACAUUCUGGUCAUUACCGACCAUUUUACGAAAUAUGCAGUGGCAGUCCCCACCCUGAAUCAGAAAGCCAGGACAGUGGCCAAGACCCUCUGGGACCAUUCUUUCGUCCAUUAUAGCAUUCCUGAAAAACUCCACAGUGACCAAGGUCCCGACUUUGAGUCCCGAACAAUAAAAGAACUGUGUGAGCUCAUUGGCACUCAAAAGAUAAGAACCUUACCUUACCAUCCGAGAGGGAACCCUGUAGAACGCUUCAACAGGACCCUGCUCCACAUGUUGGGAACCCUCGAGAACCAGAAGAAGAGUCACUGGGGGGAGUACGUCAAGCCGUUAGUACACGCUUAUAAUUGUACUAAGAACGAGACAACCGGCUUUACCUCUUACGAGUUAAUGUUUGGGCAUCAGCCAAGACUGCCAGUUGACCAGUGAGGCGUUUUACAAUCUUCGUGAAGUAGUCGGACAGAUCAAAAGAUGUCUGAAGACAGCAAUGCCACACGAUGGCAACAGAAGGCAACCCCUCAACAAGUGUCGCUGUGAGGACUGUGAAGGGCGUCCUCCACACUCUCUCAAAUAAGCAACGAGGGAUUUGAUGUUUGUAAGGUUGUACCCACUGGUAAGACAAACAUCCUUUUCCACAAAUAAAGACAAUCACAUCAAGUUGCAUAUAUUUAAACCUCACCUAACAAAGGUUGGUUUUGCGCACAGAUCACAACACAAAUUCCAAUAAUGGCAUUAAAAUCUGAACCAUCUGUGUGUAAAUGAUGCAUGCACUCCGUGGCCUGGUUCUUUCUAUCAUUGAUGUUGGCAUGUAAAAAAAAUUUGGCUCAUGCAACUGAAUUUUAUAACAUUCCUAUGUAGGCUUAAAGUAAAUGACUCAUCUAAUCAGUAAAGUUAAUCAUCUUUUCAGCCACCGCAGCAGCAGCAGGACGUGGAGAGGACACAGAGACAUGUCCAGGUUGAGCUGGUCGAAAUAUAAGAGGAAGAGGAAAAUAGAAAAAGGGGAGAAAUGAUUUAAAUAUCUUGUUAACUUCAUGUGUGUCUAUUUAGUAUUUACUAGAUAUUUAAUUUGAUUUGAUGUGGUCUCAACUGUGUUAAUUCGGUCAGGUUGAGUAUCUAAACAUGUGCUAAAUGCGCUCAUUAGAUAAGCUAUAGAUCAGAAUAUAUUUAUAGAUCUGAAUGUAUGUACUGAUUCAGAAUAAUGGUUGUUGUUAUUUUUUGCACUGAAAUGUGCCUGACACCGUGGAAACCUGCCAGUGAGGCAUUGGUAACGUAUGUGCACUAUGCCACCGGUCUACUAAAAAACCACUAGACUAGCUGCUCUCUGCCUGCGCUGAAAGCUGACCAGGUUUGAAUCGGUGAGCUUUCAGCGCACUUUCCAUGCCACCAGUGGGCACGAAAAUAUCACUGUGCCAGCUGAUUCUGUCGACACCUCCCCCUACCGUGCCACCACACCCAGCUUGGGGCACCUCGGUGCACCUCAGACUACGAAAAUACCAAACUGGCUGAGCAACUGAGAAGGGAGACAUAGGCAUAGUUUGAUGAGGUUUUCAGCUUCUUUGAAAAGAAUGCUCGUUUGUGGAAGGAGUUUAGACAUAUUUGCAGCUAUGUCUUGUACUGUGUUGCCGGGAGAGUUGCAGAGGACGUGUCAGAUCAUUUUUAGCUGAGUCUCCAGUCGGUCCCUGUCAUAGUGUGAGGGAAGGUGCAGGGAACCCACAUUCAGUGUUUUUUGUUUUUUGGCUGACUUGAUGACCAACUUCUCCCUAAGAGCUGCUGUUUACAUGCCACCUUGGUCGAAUCUCCUCUUCAGUUCCUCUGUAAUCAAGUCCACUUCUUCAUAAAACUCACACCGCCAUGAGUUUUGUUCUGCUGCCUCUGGCUCUAUUGUGUGCCGAAAGUGGACUAGGGUUUCUGUCAUCCUCUGCCCAUCUGGCAUUUUCAGUCUCGUUGUGGAUACCUUGUGCAAUAUGUUCUCCACCACUGCAUAAUCUCAAAGCGCUUCCAUGCGCUUUCUUAGCAAUUCGGUGCACUCAAGAGUACCAUGCACCUGGUAAACUGGUUUCUGGCCCCUAUUUGCAGCCAGUGCCGCUGCCCCUUGCUGGUCAAAAAAAAAAAAACAACACAGGCUUGAAGCAUUUCAGGUUUUGCUUCACAUUAAAGUUUAUGCUUCUGUCUCCAAUGUUGGCUGGGAUCAUGCAUGGACUGAUGAAUAGUUAGAUAGACUCACGUAGGUGCUUUUGGAUUCCAGAGUCAAUGUGUACAUUUCUGUUGUUUUUAUGAUUCAUUGGGUUGACUUUAAAUGUCCUGUAUUCAAAAGCAGCCAGCAGGCGUGUAGUAAGAUGCUGCAUACUGACUUCACCUCCAGGGUUUAAAGUCCGAGAGCUUUUUUUUUAAUCAUUUUAUUAUUAUUUUUUUAUUUAUUUACAGGUUACCCAGUCUGAGUCCUUUUGGUGUAAAAGCACAGCAGUUGUGAGCAGAAUGAAAUAGAGGCUUGAGGAGCGCAAUUUGAAACAGCAUUCAGAGAGACUCAGAAAAACAAGAAAAAACAUCCAAAAAGACAGUUUGUUGCAGAGGAUAAAAAGAUAUCAGAGUCUUUUUCUUAAGAUGUGAGGGGAAAAAAACAUGUUGGUGGAACUGCUCCUCAAAUGUUUGUUGUCAAUGAUAAAAGAUGAAUAAAGAUAAGGCAUGCAUGAGUUUUAAUACUAAAGGAAAACAGGUGCCACUGCUCUCCUGGGUUAAAUAGAUCAGCAUGUGAAGCAGUAUGAAGUAUUCCUUUUGUGCAAGGAGAAUACAAAAAGUCACAAAUACCCCUUUACUUUACAAGAGGAAGUAAAGGGAGCAGGUGCCAGGAGCAACAAAUGAUGCCUGCCAUGCAAAAAUAGACUUUUUUUAGACCAUCUAACCAUUUAUUUGCUGGUGGUGGCUCCUCCUUCUGGGUGCUCCCUGUGUUGACUAAGGCUGGCCUCACACUUGAUGUUUUAGAGCUCUUUAUUCCACCCAGUUUUGAUUGAUUUUUUACUUUACAAUCCUCAGACUCAGGAGCAGUAAAGAAAUUGCAGUGGCACCACAAGCCCCCAAAUCUGGCCACAUCCUUUAUAUUUGGGGUGGCAAAUUAAACCCUAUAGUUGUCUAGUGUACGGUCAGCCAGGGCAGGAUUAUAUAGCUUUCUAUGGAGUGCAUGGAGUUAAAAAAAAAAAAAAAAACUUUCAGAGUGGAAACUAUAGGAGGCCAAGGCAGUGGAGGCAAAGCUUUGCCCUCAGCAGCAGCAGCAGCAGCAGAGCGUGACCCUUUAAUACCACUACAUGCAUACAAACUGGAAGGAAUUCAGAUGGGACUUGCAUAGAUCAUUGGGCCAAUGCUUCAUGGGUCAGGACCUCUGAUCUUAAAGACAAAAGGAGGAUUAUUAAAGAUGAAUACAGUUCAACAAUCAAUGACAGUUGAACUUUCAACUGUUAACUUCGUCAGUAGGUUUCAGUACAACAUUUAAUCCUGACCAACAGAAAUAUUCAUCCAUGGUAACCUGCUUAAUAUGUUGUUGCUGAAUAUGUGGUUUCACACCCCUGUGUGAGUUUGUAGUUCUCCUGUGAUCUUUGACCUGGUGGAUUCAGCUUCCUCAGUCUGCUGCAGAAACAAUGAUCUAUGCUGUUGGAUUGAGCAAAAACAAACUGCAGAUGAAGUAUGAUGCACAUGCUACUUGAUGAAUCAAAGAGAGAGCAACUGACAUAUGAAGGAUCUGUGCAAAGCAAGUUGUUGUUAUGCAGCUGUGAUUUAUUUGUGAAUCAGUUUAAUAAGGAAGUUGUCGGCUGAUGACUGCUCGGGUUUUUUAUGACUUUAGUGUCCUGUAUUAACCAAUGCAAAGUUUUAUUCCUGAUAAUUUACUUGAUUUUGCUGCGGGAUCAUUCAGUUACAUAUUGUACAUAGUGGAUAUUUCAUGAUGAAUAUGAUAACUACUGUAUUCUUCUCUGCUCUUGGUAGAAAUCGGUAAAACCGGCCGACCUUAAACUGCUUGGACUGAGCCUGAUGACCUGUAAGAUUCUCCUCCUCUACUGCUUUUGAACUCAGAAGCCCUCCCUCCCAUGUCUUCCCACUCUCUGUUUCUCUCAUGCUGCCUUGAGGGGUUUGUCAUGCGUGGGUGCAACUGUAGGUCCCCAAGAGACCCCCUCAAAAAAUGGCAAAGAGUUAUCGAUAACAAAAGUCAUCAAAUUACAUUCUGUUGGUGGUGUAGUCCUCACCAGAACUCAAACUGAAGCCUUUCCUAAGGAGUCUGUGAAACACCUACAUAUCGUUCUUCAUCAAGACGAACAUUGUUAACCAGGUAGAUACAGUUAUAGCUGUCAUUGGGGUGGAUUUUGUUGAAGCAUCAUGCAGAAUUGAAGGGAUAUUGCAGUGUAUUUGGAAAAUAUGAGUUACAUGUCUUGAGUAAGUGAAUUUGUCACUUCCGGUACCUUUACAUGGGCACAAAAAACGGAAUAAAUGGCAGUUUAGAAUGAAAAUGUGUCAUGUGAACAUGUCCAUCGGAAGAUUCUGAUCCAAUACGUCCCAAUCGGAGAGAAACUGUAUUUCAAUCAAGAGGGGUGGUUUAUGCCCACGGUUUGUGCCGCAACGUGUCCAUAUAAACAUUUAUUCCGAUCAUGACUCUUUGUUGGGGCAAAACUAACCUGACUCAGUCUUCACUCUACUGACUUUAUUGAGGUCAGUACAGGAGGUUUCAUUAUUAACACUGGCAUAAAACACAACCGCGGGUGCUGUGCCUGCUCCUCCGAUGACAUAACAAGGCGUACAUACAGCGUAAUGAUGUUACAUCUGCACACACAGUGCAAACUUUGACAGAACAGUGAAUUAAGUAAGCAAGGGCGCCAAUCUAGUGACAAUAUUAAACAGAGGGAAAACUCCUGAAUUGGAUAGAGCGAGCCAUGACCGUGUUUGUUGGUUUGUUGACAGCACAGGCGUAAAUACAACUCUUCUUCUGCGGUUGUUUUAGCGAAAUCAGAUAACUCUGUGCGUGUCCAAAUGCUUCUAAUAUGAAUACAGCUUGGUGCAUGUAUACACAUGUCAUGAUCGGAUUAUUUGAUCUUGUGCCCAUACAGUGGAUUCAGAUUUUCCAAUCCCUGAAAUUUUUAUUCGGAUCAAGAAAUUUUGCACAUGUAAAUAUGGCUGAUGAAUGCCAAUCCCCUUCUGCAGGAUGCAAGCUAGGCUAUAGUCUCCUACAGAAGGGGAGAGAUUCUGCUCAAGUACUCAUCUUGGUUUAAGUGUAUGCACUACCGUAAAAAUGUGCACUCCUACAUGCAGUCGACUGAUAUGCUAUUUAAAUCAGCUGGCUUCGAAGAGACAAAAAUUACAUCCAAACUAAAGAAUUAGUGAUUCAGAAUGUGUCGAUGAUAUUCAGUUCACUGCAAAUACACUCUGACACCUGUACGAAGUGGGCAGAGGAAACAGACGACUCAAAUCAUCUAAAGUUACCUGGUGGAACUGGUGUGAAAACUGCAGGAUAAUGACCACGAACCAAUACAACUACAUCCUGAGAUGCUGUGAUCAGCAACAAUCACCAACCACAGUCCUAAUCCAACAAAAUAAGCAAAAAUACAUAUCUGCAGAAAACUGUAGCAUACCUGGGUAGUAUCGGCUUAAAGGAGCUGAGCUGUCUAUUGUGGCAAAUACAGUCAAUAAUGACACGUAUCUCAUAUAAGCCUCCUUCAAAAGCACUGAAAUGACCCUUUAACCUCUAUUUUCACUUCUCCUUUCAGUAUUGAUGUGUGUUUGAUGAUUAUUUAGCAGCAGGAGAGGGUUUUUCUCCAGUGAAUGCUCACUCGUUUAAAACGACAGGAUCUGCAAGAAUCACUUUGUCCACAAGAGCUGUCGAAAGAAAAGGUCUUUGGCUGCUCUUGGACCUGAGAUAACAUCGGUCUCUCCGCUUCCUCUCACCUUCAACAGCUCUAAGAAGUCUGUAUCAUCCAUCUACUCAUCUUUUACAUACCCUUAACUGAUAUAAAUGCCUGAUUAUGGGUUUCCUCUGUGACUAAAGCAGAGACUGAGGGGUGCUUAUUUGCAUGAGUCUCUCACAAAUUAGUAUUCCAGCAUUGAGAGAAAGUCUCUUAGACUCAGUUUUGUUUGCAUAAACAUUUCCACUGUUGGUAGAGUAGGAUGGUUAAAGUGAGUCUGCCCACUGUGUUUGGCAGUAAGUGCUGCGAGCAAAAAUAGAGACCUGUUUCUGCUGCCAGGACGUUAGUUUUUGAUUGGAUGUCAAUUUGUCAAUAUCAGUGGGACAGAGUGUGGGCAAAUUUGAGAGUUGGUGGAAUUAAAGAAAAUAAACUUUCUGUAAUUUGCAGAUUUAGUGAGGGGGUGUAGAAAGGACAUCAAAAAAUAGAUUGCUGGUUUUUUUUUUUUACUUGCAUGGAGAGAGAAUCUGGACUUAUCCUGUGAAUCUACGCACAAUUAUUCAACAUUGAAAAAAAAUGUUUUUGCUGUGUCUUAAUACUACGUAAACCACCUUUAGAGUGUUUUCACUUUAAACAGUAACAGGAGAGGCGUACCUUUGGACAGAUGUGGAGACAUAUGUGAAACAAAACAAGGGAGCGAAGGUUGGCAAAAAGAAGAGAUCCCUUUUACAUACAAGAAUAGUAUUUAGAAAGAACAUUUAACUGUACUGGGUUAUAGCAGUGGUUCUCAAGUCCAGUCCUCGAGGCCCACUAUCCUGCAUGUUUUGGAUGUUUCCCUGCUCCAACACACCUGAUUCAAAUAAUUAGCUAAUUAUCAAGCUCUGUAAUGGCUUAAUAAUAAGCUAAUUAUUUGAAUCAGGUGUGUUGGAGCAGGGAAACAUCCAAAACAUGCAGGACAGUGGGCCUCGAGGACUGGACUUGAGAACCACUGGGUUAUGGCAACAAAAGGGGAAUAUUGUGACAACAUCAAAGUAGUUUCAGGACCUGUGUUAACUAUGAUUCAGUUAAAUGUUCAUGUUACAGUUGUUCAAGCCAUAGACUGUAUAUACUAUGGACAACUUGGCUCCGCCUUUUGUCAUUAUAUGGAUUUGAAGCCGAAUUGCUCUUAGUAUCUGGGAUUUUCUCCACUUACUGGAACCACCACUUGUGCAGUAGCGUUGUAGGCAUUCAGCAGGAGAGUCACUGUGAUGACAGUCCCGUGGAUCAGCUACGCAAUCUUUGUACGCCCAAAGGCUGUAUCAAGUGUCAAUCAUAGAAAACAUGAAGCUCUAAUAAGUUUUAAAAAUGGAGAAAAAAGAGGAUUUGAGCAAAAACCAGUCUUACAGUAACUCCAUGUGAACAACACAAUCAGGCUGGAGAAAAAAUAGUAUUCUGUGUUAUUAAUUUCUAAAGUUUGUCCACAGCUCCCUAAGAAUUGAUUUAUGACCUAUACCACCAGGGGGUCCUGUUCUCGCGGUGGCUUUACCCAGCCAGGAGGCAGACAACGUCCAUUCUAUAUACAGUCAAUGGUUCAUGCUCCGAGUUGUCAGUGUUUCAAAGUUUGAAAUAUUCAAUCAGAGUUUCCACCAUUUUAACCAAAGCUGCCCCACAGGGAUCAAUCCUGGGUCCUGUUGUAUUUACUAUAAAUAUGAAAAAAAAAAAAAAAACAUGGACCAAAAAGUUCUGGGGACUCUUUGAAGAGUCUCUGUGAACUGCAGACUAUGGGGGCUUUUUUUCUACCUGUUGUCAUGGUGACUGAUACGAUUAAGUGAUGUAAGCUAGCUGACAGUUUUAAGUAACUUCACUUAUUCUACACAGGUGAAAAAACGAGUUGAAAUAUAGUGGUGAUGGUCGAAGCAGUGCUCAUUGUGUGUGAUUGGGUCUGUGAAUAAAACUGAUUUAAAAGGACACAAGCUAAGAUGUCUUUAUGCUGUAUUAUAUUUAAACUAUUUGAGCUAAUCUUUCUUAAUAGAGCCCUUUAACAGACUGAUGAUUAUAGGGUAUCAGGUUUGGCAAUCACUUUAUUACUUUUGAUCAAAGUUUUAUGAAGUUACAUGACUGCAGUUGUUAAAGUCUCUGUAAAAAGACUUCUGCCUUCUGCAGGGCCUUCCACUGAUAAUAUUACUAAUGUGUGUGGUGGGAUUUAAAAACAACAAUUUGGUGGUACUGGAUUGGCUUUUGUGUUCAACCAAUCACUGUGGUCCCUCUUGUGAUGGGAGAGUACCUACUAUGAAGCAGGAGCUUGACAGAAUAUCAUAAACAGGGUUCUGGGAGUUAAAACAGUUCAUAGUUCCUGCAGUGGUACAGCUAUGAAAAAGUUCCUGCAGUUUGACAACACCUGUACUCUCCUCUGUUCCUGAUUAUCAGCCUUCAAAAGGCGGUGCUGCCUUUUUUUUUAACUUGUGGAUUUUGUACAGCUCACUGAUGAGACGCUGUGAUUUAACUUGAAUGUUUUUCAGAUUGGAUUUAUCAGUCUUACAUUUGUACUUAACACCAGCUAAAAAAAGAAAACAGAAUUAAAAAAAAAAAAAAAAUACGCAUUUUUUUUCUUUUCUGGGGCAAGUGAUAUUGAUUUCAAAAUUCAACUAAAAUCCAUGCUGGAUGGGAGUACUAUUGGAAAGGUCCCAGUGUCGGAGUAUCUCUGUAUCUGGCUCAUUCUCGUUUAAAAUCCAAAUUAAAAACUUCAUCAGCAAACUUUGUUAGAAACUCAGAUUUUUAUACAAAUGAUCAAUUUUUCCUCUGAAGUGAUCUUAUUUUAGUUAAGGUGAUACUGUUUACAGACAGGCUGCUGCCUCCUAUAAAACCAGCCAUCACAUUCUUACACAUGCCCCUAUACAGUGUCAGUGCUGAACUGGACCUCUGGACCCUAUUGAACUCAGUCUACCGAGAGGAAACUUAGUCUACCAUCUGUUUAAAACUUUGAGUACUAUGGCCUUACUCUAAACUUGGGAAAUCCACCUUACUGACAAUAUGCAGAUUUAUUUAUAACAGACUCUUAAGAUCAACUUUCUUGUUUCUCUUGUACAACUCAAGUCAGUUAUCUCAGUUUGCAGUUGUUUUCAUCCAGCACAUCCCUUUCUAACUGAUCCUUGUAAAUGAGGGAAUCACUUUUGAGUUUCAAGGCUUAAAUAAAGGUUGAAGUUGAUCUUCCAAGAUCUUACUGCUCUUAUCUAUGACUUUAAACCCUCCUUAUUGCAUCCUGUUUUAAAGAUGAGCUGAAGUCACUGCAGUGGUUGCAUCUUGUGGAGGAAUAAAAUUAAAGUGAUUGGUCUCCUGAAUAAGAUUUGCAAAAGAAAAAAAAAAAAAUCAACAUUGAAGCCUGACAAAUGAAAAGUGAAUAAUCUGAAUUGCUGUGUUUGCUUUACAGAAACACAGAUUAGCAAUUACUUUUUGGUGCUAAAUGCUGAUUAAUAAGCAGAGUGUGAUGUAAAGUCUUUUCACUGCUAAUUUGAUACAUGGGCUGCUUUUCUGUGACCACCUGGGGAGAAUGUGGUAAUGAGCAGAUGUUUAGGUGUGCCCAGGUGAUGCUGCGACACUACAAUAUGUGCGUGUGUGUGUGUGUGUGUGUGUGUGUGUGUGUGUGUGUGUGUGUGUGUGUGUGUGUGUGUGUGUGUGUGUUAACAUACCGCUUGAAAGAAAUUGGCCUACAACCAGUGUGAUGUCCCGGGCCUUGUGAUUAAUUGAUGUAUGACUAACAAAGCCUUCAGCCUCAGGUCCCAUGGAAGCUGGCUAAUGGUGCUGCGCUGUGUUUAUUGGGAUAUUUCUGCUGAUUUAGGAAACUCAGACUGUGACAGGAUUCCAGGUUAGAAACCACAGAGGAGAAGGCUUUUCUGAAAAUAAGAGAGCGGGAGAGUGAUACAGAGAGAAUAAACAAGACUAAUGAGAAAGGAGAGCUUUUCACAAACACGUUUAUACAUGAAGGUGCAAUUUUGAUGAAAUUGUCGUAGUUAUCUAAGAAAAUAUGCUUAUGUUAAAAUCAAGAUUCCUAGUCUUGUCUGUCAGAACAAAUGUCAAAGCCAUAACAGAGCCAUGGCGUACAACCAAAACCCAGUCUAGGACAGAAGGUAUGAGCUGAUUCUUUCACACAGAGAGAGGAAAAUGUCAUGAGUAAAGCUAAACUUUGUAAAAAGAAACAAAAUAUUAACACAGUGCUUGAACCUGAGCUGAUUUCUUUUGUAUAUGACUGAUGUCUUUGUCAGUUGAUUAGUCCAAACUCCAUUAUAAUGGCGAUUUAUUCCAGCUGCAAAUGCUCUACUGACAGGAGUCCAACAAAUUUCACCUCUGCCUGUUGACACUGUGGCAAAAACCUAGUCUCAGGCUCAGGCAGGUCUUGAAAGUCUGGACAUAAUCCUAUUUAGGGGUCAGCUGAGAAACAACUGGACCCUAAUGAUUUCUGAUCAGAGGAAAGUGGAGGGACAUCCUGUCCUGCAAUCCAUGCAUCGGCUGCAGAGAGGAUCUUUAAGCUGCAGAUCACUAUAUAUUAACGCAGACAGAAAGGGAGCAGAGCAUGGACAGUUGAAUAUGUUCAUUUAUUUUGACCCACUUUAAGUGUUUCCACUACCUGAAAUAAUAAGUCAUACAAAAUGCUUUAAUAGAAAGCAUCUUUGCAGGGAAAACCUCCAGAUUUGUGAGUUUAUUACUUCAGCUUUAGCAGACUUUUGACCGUUUUCAUAGUUUUUUUUUUUUUUUAAAUUAAAAAUGUCCAAAUUGUCAGAACUUGUCAAUUUAAAGCCACAAGUGGUAAAUAGCUGUAACAUCAAAAUCUCUCUUUAUGCAACUUUAAAUAAAUUCCAGUUUAAGUAAACAUACAGCUUAAUUCUUUAAAAGAGGGAGAUGUGUUGUAGAAAUGAUGUUAAAACUGGCAUUAAUUGCUGUUAUAAGCUUAAAAAGAUAAUUAUAACAGUUAUUAAUUAAGCUAAGAAAUAAAAGAUGAUUGAAGUUUAGAUAUAAUGAUGCUGCUUGUUUUUUUUCCAUGUGAGAGGAUAACUUAGUUUUCUAGGUUUAAGAGUUUAUAGCUCAUGUGAGGUUUUUUUUUUUACAUCUUAGAAACAGGCUGAAAAAUAUUGAUGCAUUUUUAUAAAAUCCAAAAGCAAACAAUACCAUAAGAAACAGAAUUGGUUGUUUUUAUGUCACGAUUUUUACUCCUGAAAACAGUGUGAGGGGGUAGGUUUCAUCCAUGCAGCUGCAGAAACAAUCUUGUUUUUACAAUUACAGCAACAAUAUCCACAGUCUGACACAUUUGACUGCAAAAACGCAGCAGGAUAAGAGAGGACAAGAUAAAAAAGAGGGUUGUUUUAUCCACCGGGGGGCACAAACAGGAGCUUCAAGGAUGAAACUAAUCUACGCGUAUGUUUUUUCAAUUUCUAGGAAAAAAAACUACAAAAUUUUUCAUAUUUUUAAGCUUUUUACAAGUGGACCUGAAAAUCUUGAGUUUAUGUUUGCAUCUGCAGCAGGUUUAUAAAAAAAAAAAAAAAAGAUUUACUAUUCACAGAGCAUUUUGCAAAAAAACACCUAAAAUAUCAGUAUUUCUGCAAAAAAACAAAAAAACAAAAAAAAAACACCACUUUACUCAUUGAGAGGAAGAGGUUCACUCGUGUUCAUCUCUGAAAUGUACCACAUCUGAGUGCAGCUAUUUUUAUAUACAAGGAUGUUUUAUGGGGAUGUAUUUUUUUGUGGUCUAACAGAAUUGUCUAUAUGAAUUCUCAGGCUCUCAACAUGCAGCUAUACCUCACCGUGCUGAUCCCCUGACAGCUGUGGGUCUGACGGUUUCACUGCAUUUAUUGAUUUAGUUUCUCUUUGUGGAGGUUCUCAGGCCCUUCCCUGCUAAAGUUGUUCCAAAAGGUCAGAGCCCUUCCAGAUAUAUAAAAUCCAGAUGUCUCAUCCCUCCAAAAACAAAACAUUUCACAUUCAACCACUGCAGAAAGUUUUAUACUUCUUCUCCAGGAAGUGCAUAUUUUACAGACCUUCAUGUUGCUGUUUUCCAUGCUUUUUUCCAUAUUUGCACUCUUGCUUAUGACACUGUCCACAGUGCUUGUAGCAACCCUGUCACACAUUUGAUUACCUGCCAGUAAUGUACAGUGUGUUUGCUGCACUGGCUCAUCACUACAUCUCACAUUUUAUUUAUGUCCUCAGGAGUCAGAGGGAGUUGAAAUGAGC
This is a non-coding RNA of Xyrichtys novacula (pearly razorfish), 58099 nucleotides long. The record is from the annotation of a GenBank genome assembly. NCBI's taxonomy places the organism in Eukaryota, Metazoa, Chordata, Actinopteri, Labriformes, Labridae.